CUCUCAAUGGCGCUAUUCCGUCAUCAGAUAGCUCGGUUGCAGCUCCGGUUCCAGGUUUCGAUUCCAUUCGUUUCAUAAUUUCUUAUAAGUGAUGUUAUGUUACAUUUUGACUGAGGAUUGAAUAAGUUGGGUCAUGAGAAUGGAAGUUGAGUCAUGUUGAUACUAGAUCCAUGUCUUGAUUAUUCUACUUUUCCAUUCCAAUGCACGAUACUAUGGAUUCCAUUCCAAAGAUUCAUUACUGUGAUUUUUUUAUAUUUAAUUGAAUUGAACUACCGAGAUCUGGAAUAGGUGGAUAUGUUGCAGAGGAAACGUACAAGGUAUAUAUACUUUUGAGUUAGAUAAUUCCUCAAUGACCAGGUGGUUGCACCAUGUAAAACCGAUUAGAGAUCAGAGGAUACAGAUCUAGUUCCUUGCUUAGCAGAGGCAGAGCGGAGUUUGGAUAGUCAUGAGGUAUGUCGAGGAAUGAUGGUGAUUACACAAAUAGAUAAUUCAUGUGUUACGAAAUGAAAGAGGCUGAUAGUAAAACAAUCAACAGUAACUAGUACCUUGCUCUAAGAGGCUGAGAUGAGUAGGGUGCAGCAUCCUACUAUUGAUGAUCUUACCUUCCCUGGAAGGUAUUCCCGCAGAGAGAAAUCUUUAAUUGAACUUAUCAUCCUGCCUGUCUUCUACUUCUCCUCCUCCGCUUAUUGAUAUUACAAUCGUAUCUUAUGCAUUCUCUCCUGACGACUCGGCUUCGGCUCAAGGCCCCAGAGGGAGAGUAUCAUUAUUGAGUUGACUAACUCCAACCUCGGUAUAAAAUUCUUUAUCAGCGGGUUCGCUUUUCCAGAAUAGAAAUUUGUAUGAUAGAUCUACGGCGGAGCCGUUUACCAAUGUGGAAGUAGUAAGUUUUGACUGACCCAAUACAGCACCCUUGCUACUACUAUUAUCCCUCUUUUUUCAUGUAUCGGCUCGGGGCAUCGAAAAGCAAAAGUUCUAUCUCCCCUGUCCAUAGAUUUAAGGAUAGCGAGGCAUACCAACGCCAUGCCAACAAGAGGAACCAUCCGGACUUAAAACAGCCGACCUACCCCCUGCCACUUCUUCCUCUAAGUCAAGUUGAUAGAUUUCUGUAUGAGUUUUCAAGUGCCAUCUCCAGUCUAAGCGGUUGAGUUCAGUGAUUGUAUCGAACAAAAGCCCCCUCCCGGGGCAGGUACGCGACUGUCUCUCUUCCAAAGUGUGAUCAUCUUCUCCAGUCUCCCGUUUCCACCUAUUUUAAAUGGUCAGCCUGUGCGGCAUCAAUUGAAUUUGAAUUCUAAAAUAAAGUAGACUUCGGUGAAGGAACCUAUUCUCUGGUAUCUGCUUCGGCCAUCUCAUCUGGUUUCGGCCUUCUUUGUGAGCAGCUCCUAACUCGCUCGACGGGGUAUGAUCGCUACUGUUGAUAGGUCGAUCGGAAAAGAAUAAGUUCCAGGACUGAACAGAAAGAAAGUACUCUAACACUUUCUUCGCCAUUCUUUUCUAUGAGGAGCUCUAUUUUGCUAAUACAAAUGUAAUGCUACCUCCCUACGGCGAUUCAUAACUAGAAGAACUCGUUGGCACAACCAGACCUUAUUAAAGGCCUCGGCCGUCUGAUCGACUGAAAGAUCUUAUCUUGGAGUUCUAGUAUGGGUCGUCGGCCCUUUCUCCUCCUCAGUAGGUGCAAACCCAGGUUCUGUAAAUGAUUAUAACUGCCUUGGAGCUAGAUAAGCAAACCUUCUUCUGUUUGAGUAUGAUGGAUGUUACACCCACUGCCAGAUACAAGCAAAAGCUUUCCAGCUAAGCUAGGAGUCAGAACGAACUCAUGAAGCUAUCCUUCUUCUUGGAUCUCAAGAUUCAAAUGGAAUUUUAUCACCCCGGAUUUUGGCUUUAAUUUCCACUUUAUACUUGAGUUAAGCAAGGCACCAGCAUGGGAGAGAAGAUAGCCCCUCGGGAUCGCUUACUAGCCGGCCUGCUUGAUUUAUUUAUGAGGUAUCCAGAUGGCACUGCACCGGCGAGGGAAAGGGAAGCUGAUGAGAGGUAAGGGAAAAGUCCAUUUAAUGAAUAGGUUCACUACAGACUGUACUAUCUCUAGACCCCCUCUCUAUACUCCCUCAUAAUAUAUGGAUCCCCCGGAUAAUAUUGAUCCUCCAACAGCUGACAUAUCUUAUCUAAACUCCCGGAAACCUGGGCAUGGCUUUUUCGAACUUAGUUGAUUUCGCAAGAAGCAACUUGAAAAGCACAAAGACUACAUCUAAACAAACCUUACGUCUUCGUUCGGCUCAUUCUUGCUUAUCUCACCCUAUUUCCUUACUUUAGCUUAGAAGUAGGCAUAUGGGAAGUUACACAAAGAUGACUUAUCGGUUGGCCUAAGCUUACUCGAUUCCAUUCUUUCCAAUAUCAUAUACGCCUAGUGAAAUGCAUCUAUCUCCUCUCCUCCCCUUCUUUCUUUUUAUCCAUUUUAUAUACCUAGUCGAAGACUACUUCAGAUUAUAGGGCGGGCUUUUCUACCCAUUGACAUAGAUGAUCAAAUAGACACAUAUUUUAGUGAGGAAUACAAUUUUAUAUUACCUUCCUUUGAAGAAAGGAGUAAAAAAAUGUUGGUAGAAUUUAUAGAGCGUAUAGCCCAACUGGUAUCUAAACACAAUGACGUGAAAACCGUUUACUUUCACAAUUUCUCACGAUUCGAUGGUAUUCUCUUAAUGAAGUUUUUAGCAACUCAUAUGGUCGAGUACUCCAUUAAACCUCUGAUGAGGAACAAUAAGCUUUACCAGUUAUCUGUUUCUAGGAUUACUCCAUCUGGGCGGAAUCAAUUGUUGUUCAAUCUACGAGAUUCCUACACUCUACUCCCUAAUAGUCUAGAAACAUUGGCUAAGACUUUAUGUCCGCACUUAGGUUCAAAAGGGUCAAUAGCACAUGACGAGGUUCAAGUGUCUUCUCUGAAGGAUAAUAGGGCCCAAUUGUUGGAUUAUAUGGAACAAGAUAUCCGUCUUUUAGCUGGUGUGAUGCUUCGGGCUCAAUAAAUUUAUUGGAAAAGGCUUAUGUUGUUUGUCCUACUACUAUUACUCGCCCAUUCUUGCCAUACAAAAAGAAAAAUAAUACACUACUUUUCCCAACGGGGAAAUUUUUGGGUGUAUAUUACAGCGAAGAGCUGAAGUAUGCCCGCGAUUUGGGUUACCAGAUUAUACCACUCAGGGGUUACUUGUUUGAGGAGAUGAUUAGUCCUUUCGAAAGCUUUGUGUCAGACCUCUUCGCCAGCAGACAAGAAGCUAAGAAAAGUGGUGACGAUGCUAUGGCAUAUGUUUACAAGAUUCUCAUGAACUCGCUAUACGGUAGAUUUUUUAGAAAUCCGGAAAGUACUAUAACGGAGGUAUGCAAAAAGGAACGAUAUGAGUAUUUGAUACAGAACUCCAAUUUCAUCUCAGGUGACAUGCUAAGCGAUCAUUACUAUAUGGUCAGUUAGAAUAGCAAAACAGGACAUGUUGACAACUCAUCUGACUGGAAUCUUCCUACUAACACAGCUGUUCAAAUCUCAGCGGCUAUUACAGCAUGUGCUCGUAUUCAUAUGUACCAAUAUAUUAGCAGACCUGACUGUUACUACACAGAUACAGAAGGAGCUAUUCUAGGAAAUCCUCUUCCUGAAGAUGAAAUCUCAUCUAUGGAAUUGGGUAAGUUAAAACAGGAGCACAUUGUAAAGAAUGCAUACUUCUUAGCACCAAAAGAAUGCAUACUUCUUAGCACCAAAAAGUUAUACGUUACUUACACCCACUGGUGAUAUAAUUCUAAAGCACAAGGGUCUAGAAAGACUUGGUUGAUUAUGAAUGGUUUGUCUCACAAUACGCCGAUCUGUCUCGAACUAAGCAGGGCACCGUGGAAUCUUCAUUCAGAAUAGAUUGGCACACACUGGAAAUAGCUAAAAAAUGCUUACAAGUUAACAUUGGAAUCCAAGUAGAUAACAAAAGGAACCCUGUGUUUGAUAAUAAAAAUAAAUGGGUUGAUACUGAACCUAAGUAUAUAAUAUACUUUGGUGGAGAAGAAAGCACUAUUCUAAAAUAUGAAUGAAAGAAUUUGCAGGAGAUAAAUGCUAGUAUGCAGUCAGAAAUAGCUAUACUUCAGAAUAAUACAAAAGAAAGGGAUCUGCAUAUAUCACGUCUGGAGUCAGAAAUGGCUAUACUGCGUAAGAAAGAUCAAGAAAAAGAUCAGUAUAUUGCGAGUCUGGAGUCAGCAUUUUAUAAACUGCGUGAAGAGAUAAUCUCGAAGUCAGCUGAUGAUAAGCAUCCAGAGGAAGCUGUUAUGCACCCAGUUACACCACCCCCAAUGGUCAACAAAGAGGUGCCCCAACCUACCAACAAGAAUCCCAAAGAUUAUACCUCUAAUAUAUAAAUGACCCCUAAAGAUAAUAUAACCUUUACAGAUAAUCAAAAUAAGGGGUCUAAGAAGCCGAAGGGGAAGAAAAAGAAAAAGNNNNNNNNNNNNNNNNNGUGCCGAUUCCCUGUAGCAGGAUCGAUUGAACUGAUGCCUGUGGCAGCACUAUGAGUUUGGUGUGAGCGAAGCUAGCCUAGGCAACUCAACAAAAGUCAAGAUGGAUGAUGGCAUGAUCUAGCAAAGCAGAAAUUACUUAAUCCCAAUAUUAGUACAAUUAGAUACAACCCUGUUCUCUUUGUCUUCGUUCAUUCUUCAUUUUCAUGCAAUUAUGAAUCAUGUUUCUACUUAUUCUCAUAUGGGUAACAUCUUUAGAAACUAAAAGUUAGUACUGUCUUCCCAUAUACAAGUGGCAUAAACAAUCCUUUGACGAACUUUCUGGUUAACAUAGAAUCUAUGAGUUUUUUCUUCUAAUUACUACUACUAACAUUAUUCAAUCUGGUAUCCAAGAAUUUAUUAAGCUCAUCCCGCAAGCACAUGUACACAUCUUGGAUUUUACCGUCUGAAGAUGGAAGAAGAUUCGUUCUCCUACCCAUUUCUAAGUUAAGCAAGAGAUAACUCAUAAUUUGAUAUGCACUCGCACUCGCAUCUUGGGUCACUGGAACCUGAUGAUAAUUACUCACUCCUUCAUCCUGAGAAAGGAUCUUGGCUAUGAAAAAAAAUGGAUCACUAGCUUGCGCAGCAAAUUGAAUGAAACUUUCGUCCGAAGUAAACAUUUCAGUCUGGUGUUCGUUAUACCAUUUAAGGGCAUCAUCUAAGUUCGAGAACUUUUGAUACUUAAAGGCUGCAGCACAUGCUAAGUGUUGACUGAGAUUCUUUUUUUCCGACAGGUGGUUUUGUGCUUGAGGUUGAGGAUGAUCGGCAGAAAAGAGUAAUAAACUUUUUGACAAAUCACGCUCAUGAAAAUGCAAUACACCUGAACGGUAGAUUCUACCACGGAAGUCCAUGAAUGCUGGCAAAUAGAAUUGAUAACCUUCGUAUGCUGACGCAAGUCUUAUUAAAAAAUCUUCAUAACUAGCCUGCUGCACCUGUUUUCAUAAUUUAUUUAACAGUAUGUUAUAGCUACAAGCAUUCUUAAUACCUUUGACGUUAUUGAAGUAGCACUCCCUCAAUAUGUCUGAGGCUUCUGUCGGAUUCACGCGAGCCAGAGCAUUUGGUAAAAGAAGCCCACACUCAACUAAACAUUGACGAUUCUUUUCCAGAAAUCUCAAGAGCCUUUUGUUUAUUUCAAACGCUUGAGACUGAAGCCCAUUCAAAAUAUCACACAUCUGCUUGUAUUCUUUUUUAUGUAACUUUAUAUAGAAGUGGUUUAAGUCAUGGGAAGUUAAUAGCCGAAAGUGAUUCUAGAUAUCCCCCGUGGGUUUGCAUAAGUAACCUCCUAUCAGAUCCGAUAAUGUAUCAGGAUCAGACCCCCUCUCUGCUGGUUGCCAAUCCAAGGGUUUGCAAAGCAUCGGAAGAUUUAGUUUGAUAGGGAGCAGAUUUAUGUUCAAAUUGCACAUAACAUAACAAGAAUUCUCUAUAUACCCUUGACCUUUCUUAAGAACCAGCACUGGAUCUUCUUUUGUUACUCCCCUAUCUGUUGAUAUAUGUAGAACAUUUCUUUCAAUCAUGAAUUGGAGCAAGUAUUUCCCGAUAUCAUAAUGACACUGAAUUUUUUUCUUUUCCUCUUUUUUGCUAGCACCUUUGGGCUGAACAACAUCCUUAACUGAUUCUACCUUACUAGUGAGUACUGCUUCCACCUUACCACUACCUGGUGCUUUGUAUUGUAGAAACCUUGCUUGUUCUCGUACAGUUGAAUUAAGUUGAUCUAUAAAUCUAGCUGCCUUAACUGCGGAUGAUUCCUGAAGAGUGUUGAAUACCAAGCCUAGUACAUGAAUCAUGAUAGCCUCAAGCGUAUAGAUACCAAACAUCUUAAGCAUAGGUAAGCUACUUGGUAGGCAACCCUUUAGAUAUUGCUUAGCGUUAGGCUGAUCUUUAUUAAUCAAGAACUUUACUAUGUUAGGAGUUACUUUAAAUAGAUUAUCCUCAUCGAACUUCAUUGUGCAAUUUGCAAUUUGAUUCUGUAAAUCUAUUAAUUCAGUAUCGGAAAACACACCAUUUUUAUUCUUCUUUUCAUUAAUCAACAACUUUCUAACAUCAUCCUGAUACAUAUCAACAUUAGAAGUCUUUUUCGUUUUGUCAAUAUCCAACAGCUUAGCGUAGUAAUCGUUCCAGAACUCCUUAAUAAUACGUGCAUUUUGCAAAGAUUUCUCAUUCUCAAUGCUAUCAUCAUAUGUCUCGGAACAAUAAAAUAGAACCUGCAUACUUUUAUUUGUUACCCUUACUAAACCGCAGUAAGGAUACGAAUACGACUUAAAUAAACAACUAGAAUCUCAAUAUAAGGAAAGGAUCAGAAUAAGUACUAAUGCUCUGUAUAAUACUUUUCCCCGAGCGAUGGUUUAGCGGAUUCGGAAUUGUAACCAAGCAUCCUGGGUUCUAUACCCGAUUCAACACUAGAGCAUGCAGCCGAUCCUGGAUACAUAACUCUCAAAAGUGUGCAGUGAGGGAUCUUUAUUGGUAGCCAGUCUUUCACUUCUGCCUCUCCACUCCCAUGCCUUUCUUGGUCGGACCAACCCAACCGGCGAUUUCCGACAAGUCUUUCUGCUUAGAGCAAGAAGCGGAACCAAAAUAAAGCUUUCUUUAUUUUCAUUUAUGGAUAACCAAUCCAUUUUCCAAUAUAGUUGGGAGAUUUUACCCAAGAAAUGGGUACAUAAAAUGAAAAGAUCGGAACAUGGGAAUAGAUCUUAUACCAAUACUGACUACCCAUUUCCAUUGUUGUGCUUUCUAAAAUGGCAUACCUAUACAAGGGUUCAAGUUUCGAUCGAUAUUUGCGGAGUGGAUCAUCCCUCUCGAAAACGCAGAUUUGAAGUUGUCCAUAAUUUACUGAGUACUCGGUAUAACUCACGCAUUCGUGUACAAACAAGUGCAGACGAAGUAACACGAAUAUCUCCGGUAGUCAGUCUAUUUCCAUCAGCCGGCCGGUGGGAGCGAGAAGUAUGGGAUAUGUCUGGUGUUUCUUCCAUCAAUCAUCCGGAUUUACGCCGUAUAUCAACAGAUUAUGGUUUCGAGGGUCAUCCAUUACGAAAAGACUUUCCUCUGAGUGGAUAUGUGGAAGUACGCUAUGAUGAUCCAGAGAAACGUGUGGUUUCUGAACCCAUUGAGAUGACCCAAGAAUUUCGCUAUUUCGAUUUUGCUAGUCCUUGGGAACAGCGUAGCGACGGAUAAUUCCGAAUCUACAUAGGUCUAGUCCAGGGGACAAAUCAAUAGGAAAUGCUAUUUGCUUCUUAAGAAGAAGAACUUUUUUGAAAUGAAAGAGUUUCCACGGGCGUCGGAUAUCAUUUCUUCAAAUAAGGAAGAAGUGUUAUCGAAGGAUUUCCUUCCAUUCUUCCUAGUAUGGAAGAAGUAAAGAAAAAGUACUGCGUCUCGAUCUAUACGAAAGGGCACUGGUUUUUUCUUUCGGUUUCAUUGAUAGCAGAAGAGUACGCUAGCUAGCGGAGCCUGAAAACGCUUGCUUGCGCCCCACCCCUACGGAAACUAUUGCCUAUGCUUGCUGCUCGCUCAGUUUCAGUAGAAGGGAAGAAAAGAUGGUCACUCCUUUUAGGAACAUGGCGAGCCUUACUUACGACUGUUGCACUUCACUCGCUGCUCGUUCAUUCACUUGCUCAUGAACUCGCUGCUUCGCCAGAAGCGACUAGUCGCCUCCUUUCCUCCGCCGAAAGAUGCUUAGCCAGAAGCGACGAAGGAGGGGAGCUGGGGAAGGCCGACGAUGGCAAUGAGGGGGAAGCUGUCGUAGAAGCUUUGCCCCUUGCUUUACAUAAAUUGUUAUGAACUUACUAAAUGACCUUAUUUAUUCUCCCGGAACGCUAGCAAAUCUAAUAGUUCCAUCUGCUCUUCUUAACUUAAGAACGAAGGCCGCCAUCCUUCUUAUUCAGGAACCCUUUGUUUGAGGAGGGCGUAUCCCCGGGAAGGGGAGAGUGGCCGAGCGGUCAAAAGCGACAGACUGUAAAUCUGUUGAAGGUUUUCUACGUAGGUUCGAAUCCACAUCUGAGCGUCUUUUUUUCGGUAUGCCGCUCCGCGAGCAAGGAGCGCCGCGAGGAGAGCGAGAGAACGAAGUGGGCUUUGGUGAUGUCGGAAUUUGCACCUAUUUGUAUCUAUUUAGUGAUCAGUCCGCUAGUUUCUUUGAUUCCACUCGGUGUUCCUUUUCCAUUUGCUUCCAAUAGUUCGACCUAUCCAGAAAAAUUGUCGGCCUACGAAUGUGGUUCCGAUCCCUCCGGUGAUGCCAGAAGUCGUUUCGAUAUACGAUUUUAUCCGGUUCCUAUUUUAUUUAUUAUCCCUGAUCCGGAAGUCACCUUUUCUUUUCCUUGGGCAGUACCUCCUAACAAGAUUGAUCUGUUUGGAUCUUGGUCCAUGAUGGCCUUUUUAUUGAUUUUGACGAUUGGAUCUCUCUAUGAAUGGAAAAGGGGUGCUUCGGAUCGGGAGUAACCACUUUUGAAAGGGCAAAGGGGGGAAAAAGUAAAGUAUAAGCGACAUAUGGCACGAAAAGGAAAUCCAAUUGAGGUAAGACUUGAUCUAUCAUCUGAUUCUUGUUUUUUUCAAUGGGGGGGACUUUUCAUAGUUAUCAUUGUGAUAGCUGCUUUAGUAGUGGAUCCCUCCUUGAUCGUGACAGAUCAGGUUAGGCAAGCACUACUGGAAGUGAUUCUGUCACUUUUACAAUAUGUUUUGCUAUAUGGUGCCACGCUGAUUGAAGAAAUGGUACCGGCCCUCUGGGGGCAGGAGCGAUGUGGGACCGUGGGCACAGGGGGGCUUGAAAGUCCUUCCCGUUCGGGGCAGGAAACGUACAAAGCCCCACACGUUCAUCUAAUGCUAUCAUCUGAUAGUGAUAGUGAGAGCGUUAACCAAAGGGGUGGGAGCGAUGUGCCUCCUUUAACUAUUGACUUGAACCGACCGGCUCAGGAUCAGGAAGAUAUUAGGCAAUAUGCCGAAUCCAUAAAGGAUUUUAGAAUUGACGAGCAAUUCGAGAAUUUCAAAAGGAAUGAUUCCACUUCCCCGCUCUAUGAUCAAUUAUGUGCCUACGUGGGAGAUGCUGAUGUUGUCAAAAACAAGUGUAUCCGAGAGAUCUCGGAGAACUUUCAUUCAACAGACGCUGGGUUAAUUGAUUUCGUCAAUCAGACGGAUGACACUGAAGGGCAAAGAAGAGUUAUAUGGGAUCUUAUAAAGCUUCAUUUUCAAGAUGAGCUUGAUAAGAUCCCACCCGAACUACAACAAAAUGCAAAUCAAGAGGAGGAAUGAAUGGUCGCCAUCAUCAUCAUUCUCUUUUUCGUUAUCAAGAUAAAGGGCUUCAUUUGAAGAGUUAGUUGGCCGGCCUACCGGCCCGCAGAUGUAGAGAAAGAGAUAGAGGUUGCCUCUCUUCUGGAACUGCGAAACCAAAGGGACGCUUGGAAAGAAGGGAACGCACGGCUCUUAUCUGGUUCGAAUCCAGUUCGUCCCGGCCACAAAGACUACACCAAACUACACUAACUAUGAGUUUAUGAAAGCAAGAACUACUAAUUGUAAAAAUUACAAUCGAAAGCCCCCCCCCCCCGGUAGAAAACCUGCUAUCGUUUCAUAUAUGCGCUAGGAGAUAGUAUCCUAUCCCCCUCAAUCUCAGGAGUCGCUUUCUCUAUGCCCGACUUACGAGCUCUUUGCUUAUUAUUUCUCGGGUGGGAUGAAGGUCGAAAUGUCUAGUUUGAAUUGCUUAUGCUUAUAUAGUUUGAAUCGUCUAGCUUCAUACCAAGGUUGUUCUACAAAAGAACCAAGUAAGAAAGUAAGCCCGUUCAAUUGAAAUAGCUUCCUCGCUUCGCAGUUCGAUACCCACUGAAACUAUGGAUACGAUAGACUCGGGAGGGGGAAAGGGUUACUUUAUUUGGGCUGCUAAGUCUUUCUUGUUGAUUCCGGAAAUAAAGAGGACCUUCUUAAUCCUUCGUGCUCCACACCCGCCUCACUGGACCUAUCCAUUCGAGCUCUCUCCUCUAAUCCCAACUCGACACGGCUGGACGACGACGCCUGUUCACUUAUAACGAAAUCACACGUUAAGCCCGAUGAAUUCAUCUACAAUUUCUGGAUUUGUCGGUUUGGCAAGGCAGAACCAGGGCCCUUCCAUUAAGGUUAUAUUAUAGUUUCGAUAGGAGAGAUGCAGACCAGAUAGGAAUGCAAGAAUACUCUGUAAAUUGUUUAUUAAUUGGUUUAGUCUGUGGAAGAGAAGUAUCGAUCUAGAGGAUUGCCCCCCCCAGACUGACCUAGUUGUCCUUGACUUGCUUCGGAAAGAAAAGACCUAGUACUUGUUUACCUUGACCAUGGCUACUUUCCCGCCGCCUUUCCUUCUAUACUUUUCCUAUGUGCUAUCCCAGGCAUCCCUUGUCAAGCUACCUAUCCCUACGAAAAAGCAAGCCUACUUACUACGUGUUUUCCUCUAUUGGCAAAUACGCAUAUACUGACCUACUCACGUGCAUAUCUUGCAUAAAGCCUUCCCCUAAAAAAACAAACUAGCCCGUAUCUUCCUAGUCCUUGUUGCCAGCCCUACUCGACUUUACUCGACUAUUUAGAAAAAGCUACUACUUGAAUGCAUACUUUUACUAUUAUUUAAAGAAAAAACAAAAACUAUUUAUGAGUUUAUGCCCCACCAACAGAGCAAAAGAACGCUCAAAUGAGGAACUAGAAUAUGAAAGUGCAAAAUCUCCUACCGAACAAAGAAAGCACUAUAUCUCAUUUUAAAAAUCUGGUAAAAAUUCUUCAACCUAACUCAACACAACUAUAUUUCGACUGUAUAUGUAUGUUUGUAACGUGCCACAAAACCAUCUUAAGAUUAGACAGUUAUCAAUCAGCAAACGCAUUGACCACAUGCAAAAAAUCAAGACGGAUCUCCUUCCUUUUAUUCGGUGCUUUCCUUUUAUAAGUCACUGCUAUUCUUCCUUGACCCUUCUUACCUUUGCUAGAUUUUGCAUUCCCCUCAUUACUAUUCGGCUCAGUAUUAUCUUCACCUUUGGAAUUGCUUCCACCAGAAGUAGACGACAAGUACCGUAGAUGUCAUAAUUUCGUAUAUAGCAAAUUCAGGUAGUAAGUAAUGGAACUGUAGCAUGCAAAGGGACUGUACCAUGGAAAUUGAGAAGAAAUCUCCAUCAAGUUUUUCCAUUUUAUGCCAUAUGAAUAAGAGAUUCCUUUUAGUUAGAAAGCUCGCGUAGAAGUUUGCUAUCAAAGACCUCGGUAUUCUUUUCAUCCGCGGUUUCCCACUUCUCUGUCUCUGGGUGAAUGCCUCUACCAGAGGUUAUGCGCCAGCUUGGGAAAGCCUUAAGUUAUAUCUUAAUCUGUCUUGCAAGGUAGAUUGGAUCAUGUCCGCGAUAGAAGUUGCGGAGGAAUGAAACGACGAUUUCGGUAUAGGAAGAGAAAGGGAUUGUGCUUUCGACCGUGGCGAGAUAGGAUAGACUUGGGAUUCUUUCUUGGCCCUUGAUUGCCAACACUCUGGGGCUGAAUUAAUUAAUGAAACUAAUAGGAAGGAUUGGGAUGAUGAACUGGUGAGAUUCUUUCUUUCGCUGACUGACCAAGGUAAUUAAUUCCUUCCAUUGGCCAGGCGGGUAAGCAAGGAGACGACGUUCUCAUUAAAAAAAAUGAAAUAUGCCAUGCCGAAUUCAAAAACAACUCCUUAAACUCCGUCGUUUACCGACAUCCUCUCGGCUAUCAUACGUCCUCCGCUUAUCUCUCUUAGGCAUAGGCAUCUCAACACAUUCCUCCUUCCGAGUUGCUUGUCCGAACUUGGCUCUUUAGUAAAACGAAGGAGCUGCUAAGCUAUUAUUAGGUAUCAAUUUAGGAGCCUUUUUUCAUUUCCAACUACAUUAUUGUGAGCAUUCGGAACCCGUUCCUACGCGGUCAUCAAAUUGGCUGGCUUUGGACCCUCGAUCGCAGCAAUGAACUCAGCGUCCCACUUAACUUACUUUUGGUACUUUUGAAUCUUGUCCCAUCCCAUAGCUUCACAAGUGAAUCUACCUAUGGAUCCAUAAAGUUGAUCAUUACUUUUCAAAUUCUUAUUCCAUGUGUCCGCCAUAGCGCUUAUCUAUCUCCUGGUCUGAUUCAUCUUUGGAAUGUAACCGGACAUAUUACAAGGCGAAAAAACAGUGAUUUCAUCGAUUCCGGAUUGCCCAGUGUCUCCCUUUCCCUCUUUCCUUUCACUUUUUCUUCGGCUGUCACCAACUUUGUUCAAUGCUAGUCCCUAACCCAUGAAUAAGGGCUCCGCUGGCUACCGGGUUCAGAGAAGUUUGUAAGCUCUUUCUCUUUUUUCGUUUUUCGCCACCUCCUGUGUCUUUCCGUUUAAGGUCUUUAAUUCGGCAUUAGCUUCGUUAGAGAAAGCCAUGCGUGAACUACACAAAGCAUGGGAUCCUGAACACCACGAAAGAAAGCGUACUACUUUUCAAUAAGGUCCGACUUCAGAGAGGAGAGACAUGAACUUGUUUUAGGCGUAGAAAAGGCAUACGGUAUGAAAGAUUGAUUGAAAAGAGGUAGGGACUGGUCUCGCUGCUAAGGGAGAAGGAGACCUCUGUCGGAGCAAGCUAAAGAGCCCACUUUAUAUCGUCGAUUUCAGGUAAGGCACUCGAUCAAGCCUAUACAUCCGGGAAUUUAGCUCCAAACCAAAGACGACUUGCUUUGCUGCAUUUCUUGGGCCGGGGCUUUACUUGAUUUUGGCGAAAGAAAGGCCAUAUGAUCUACUUUCUGGUGCCGGUCCCUUCACAAAGAUAGCCCCUUCUUGCUCUUAUUCGGGGGGGGGGGGGAUUCUUAUUCGGUGGAAUACAAGAGUUCUGAAGCUCCUUUCUUUCAAGUGAAAGUUGCCUAUCUUUCUUGGUUCGGAAUCCAAUCCAGUUGAAAACAAACAAUUGCCCGAUGGCAAAGUCAGAUGAAAGGCAAGGAGUGUAAACCACGUACGAGCGUGGCGCAGAAAGCGAAAUGUUUUGCAGCGAGUCAAGCGUAAUACGAUCAAAAGGAAAUGGGGUCGAUGCUAAAACUCAAACAGUUCCCCAGAGGGGGCCCCGGGUUGAAAGAGCGAGCUACAUUCUUUCAUAGAAGACAGAAAAUAAGAGGACUGAUGCUUUCUUACUUCAUCUUAAUAUAGGGAUGCUUUAUGUAGCUUCCAAUGAAUAGGAAACAAGAUGACCCAUGGGGCACUCAGUGACGUAUCUAAACCGUCUAUCCAGUACUGGCUUUUCACACUCGGGAAUAGAAACUGUCGGCACUUGAAGAUGAACGAAGCGAAAUUACCCCCCAAAAAAAGCCCUUAUACUCACCUUGGUGGGGACUGACUGCUCUCCCCUACGAAAGUAGCAUCGCGAUGCGGAGAUCAACAACACAUAUUCGCAUACCAUGCUUAUCUAUUGAUGUCGCAGAUCAGCGGCAACUCCCAUACUAAGUAUGAUGUCGCAUAUCGGUUGUCUAACUACAAGGGUGGAACCUUUUCUUUUUAACUAGUCUUAAAGUGGAUGUCGCAGCCUUGAGUUCUUUUUAUUGAAUUCACGAGAUUGAAAAUUAGGAUGGAAUGAAUAACCUGGAGAUAUAUUCCUUUUCUCAAAUAGUUCUUUAAGUUUUUUCUCUCUAUCCUUGGCUUAUUCAAUAGAGCUUUCCUUCUUUUCAUUAUUCGAUACUGCUGUGAGAUACUACGAGAGCUCGUAGGCAAUAUGAGAUAGAGCUGACUAAGAGAAAGAAGUAAGCGGAUCUUGCAGCUGUUUUCAUUCCUUUAUUUAGGUCUUGAACCUAUUAAGUAGAAGAUCAAGCACUGAUCUGAUGGAUCAAAUGCUUUCGGAUGAACUACUCGAUCAAGGGCUUCCCAAUAUAUUUACUAACUUCUCUUCGUUCCGCAUGAGAGAAAGUUAUAAAGACAGAUUUCCGAAUCGUUUUUUUAGUCAUGUUAGCACCACGCUUCGCUUUCCGGUAUCAGGUAUAUAGCAUUUACUCUUUCUAAGCUUUUCCGGUUAUAACUCGUUUAUGAUAUACCAACUGCGGCCUGAAGCACCAACCACCAGUAGCAUUUCAACCAAACCUUGUUUCUCGAUCAAAAAGAGCGCCCUUCCAUUUCUUUUUAAAAUCAAACGUAGAUAGGGACAAAAGCCUGGCCGAUAGAGGAAUAAGUGGAUGGGUCUACCUAUGGUGGUUUGAAGUCAUUCACAAAGCUACUCAGACUUUUAGUGGAUUUGAUGCCGGGUCUUAAUCCCCAACUAGAAAAGAAACUGAAACUCGAUCUCGAGAUAUGCCGGCCGGAAUGCCGCAGGCUCGGAAGGAGGUAACGUGAGGCAGGGUUGAUGUAUCAGAGGUGGAAAAUGGACUUUCUAUUUUGCAUUUCCAGAUGAAAAAACCAGACAAUGGGUAUUAGAAGGUGGACCCUUGGCACAUUGCUAACAUACCAUUACUGUUGAGACAAUGGCAGCCAAAAUUUCAGUUGAAAAAAUGGGAAAAAAGAAAAAUCCCAAUUUUAGAAAACUGUGGGGAGUUCCUAAGGAGUACAUUAAAAAAGAAGGACUGAGCUAUAUUGCUAGAGCUAGUGGUUUGGGGAAGCCUCUCUAGAUGGAUAAAGUCACUGAAAAAAAUACAAUAUUUGCUUUUGCAAAAGUAAAAAAAUACUUUUUCAAGGAUCUUGGAAACUAUCUUAGUAAUUACUUACUUAUUAAGGAGACGAGAUUGAGAUUAAAGCAGAAUAUGCAUGGAAGCCCAAAUCCAGUGCUGUUUGCUAGGAGUUUGGUCAUGACAUUAGCAGAUGUCCUAAGAAGAAGAUAGUAGAGUUUGCUCCUGUCAAGAAGAGUAUUGAAGCUGUUACUGAAAAGCAAUAUAUGUAAAAAGAAUAUAAGUUUAGAUUACCGGUCUGUCUCCUUAAUAAAGAGUCGAGGAAUAGGAGGAGAAUCCCCAGGCAAACAACUAGGGUUCCAGAUUCACUGGGCAGAGAAGGGAGAAUAGUAUCCUCUCACAGUAGGUGACGUUUUGGGCGAACUCACUAGUCUCCUAAUUAAUUCCCCACGAUAGGAAAAUAGAGAGAGCACAAGACUUUUAAGCACCUUAGGGGUUGAUGUAGAAAGCUUGCCGCGAGUCAACAAGGACCAGCGGUGUUGAGGCAACUUGCGGCAAGUCAGAGUAGACUUUAAGACCAACUUGGUGUAGAGACGACUAUGAUGGUCGGCCUCCACAGACUGAACGCGGGAGAUUCUUUCACCCUGUUUUUAGUAGUGCGAGGAGGAUAGAGCUCCCAGCAACGAGUGAUUGUUCGUACGAGCGAAGGAGCGAGCAUGCUUUACCCUUAGAGUGAAGUUGACAUUCACAGGUCUUGUGGGAACUCCUUCAGUUCAGGUAGCCAUAGUCACUCAGGGCUAUAGUGGUAGUAGCAAGAUCGAAAUUGUGAGAUUGGCUCGAUCACAAACUAUCAAGAAGAAAGAUCAAGAUUCACUUUUGUCGGGCAAAGAACUCUAUUGAGGAAAUGACUUCGCUCACUGAAGACCAAGCAGCAGCCAUUCUAGAUGAAAGGACACAAGCCUAAAACUUGAAUGCGGAUCUAUUUAUCUUGAAUUCCUAUCUUCAGAAAUAAAGAGUUGCCUAUCUUCAGAAAUGCUGGUAUAGUUGACUUGCCUCUGUUCUCGCACCGGUGUCUGCCAGGGUCUGAACCAUUAGGUAGAGGAUCAGCUGAAAGAAAAGGCAGACAGAGAUCUUGUGCCAGAUCCGUAUACAUUCAGCACCCUCAUUACAGCAUUUGCUAAGCAUGAAAAGUGGUUGGAGCUAUGCUUAUGUGCACGAAAAUGCAGGAGAAAGGAUGGCACCCAGAGANACAGAGCUAAAUCCUAAUGAAUGGAGGCUAAGAUAUGAAUUGGAAGCUCAAUUGGUCCAAAUUUGUGAGAUGGAAGAGUUAUAUUGGCAGAAAAGAGGAGGUGAACGGUAGAGUGGCUGCUAAAGGGACACUGCUUAUUUCCAUAAAAAAGCAAAUGGGAGGAAAAGAAAGUCUCAUGUUGCUCUUCAGAAAACGCGUAUAGUGGCCUUCGUCGAUGGGACAAACGCUCCAGUGUAUGCGUUACAAGGCAACUAGCAUUUAGUUCGUGAAAGAAUGUUUCGUUGGAAAAACCAACGCCGACGUCAAGAUCAGUCUCCUUUCUCUUUUCGGGAGCAGAGCUGAAAAAGAUGGACAGUAACGAUCGCGUAAUAUCAAUUUAUCGGCCUCGUCAUCGAAAGCGGCUUCCAAUUGCUCGGAAAUUCUCAGCUAUAUGGGGGACUUUGAUGGUGAGCAAAAAGAAUUGAUCAAGAAAUUGGUAAACUUUCGCAUGAUCGAUGGUAAAAGAACGAGAGUUCGUGCUAUUGUUUAUAAAACUUUUCACCGCCUAGCUCGAACUGAACGCGAUGUAAUAAAACUUAUGGUUGACGCCGUAGAUAAUAUAAAGCCAAUAUGCGAAGUGGUCAAAGUAGGAGUCGCAGGUACUAUUUAUGAUGUUCCUGGGAUUGUAGCCAGGGAUCGUCAACAAACCUUAGCUAUUCGUUGGAUCCUUGGAGCAGCUUUCAAACGACGUAUAAGCUACAGGAUAAGCUUAGAGAAAUGUUCAUUUGCUGAGAUACUGGAUGCUUACCGAAAGAGGGGAAUUUCACGUAAGAGAAGGGAGAAUCUUCAUGGACUGGCUUCCACCAAUCGGAGUUUCGCGCAUUUCAGAUGGUGGUAAAGUGAUACCACAUAAGGAGCUCUUCCUCAUUCAGUCAUACUCAACAAAAGUAAGAAAUGUUUGACCCUGAUCCUUUUUUCAUCUUCAUAUAGAAAGAAAAUCGGCCUUCCUCAUACUCCCCCCUUCAUUCAUAGAGUUGGAGGAAUCCACAAGAGGCCUGCCCGUUCAUAAUUGCAUAAAAGAACCAUUCUUUUUAUGAAAACUCUUGUUCCAACCUCACCUCAGGUCGAAUGAAUACGAAAGGGGGAUCAAUCAAAUCAAUAAGCCAUGAAUGAAGAAGUAGUGGGCCUUUCGCCUUAUUUCGUUUGACUCGUGGAGCUGAGAAAUCUACUUCAAAGAGAGGGAAAGAGUGCUAGUCCGAAAGAACAAGCAAGGGAUGAGCGCACGGGAGCGAAAUCCGUUGCGCCCACGCGCAUACGUUUUCUUGCUGGGUAAUUUCUCAGAAAGUUUUUGUGUUGUUGAUUCCUAUUCCUAGGUGUUGUGCUUUUUCCCCUAUGCCGCCUAUUGGUACUAGUGGAGUAGGAUUGGCCUGUAAUACAGAACCUAUAGGUGGUGUAACCUUUCGCUCAAUACUCAAAUCUACAAUUGAAGCAUCUGAGGCUGCAUCAAUCGAGGAUACACGACAUAAGGAAUUGUUAGAUCUCCAAACUGAACUUCGCCUUCACCAAGCGUGGGUUUUCACUGGUCCUAACUAAUGGUUGGCAAGCGAUCCCCUAUUCUGCAUCCCGAAGAUCAGACGGCCCAGAGCCGGAGCGAUCAUUCCAGCAAGUUACUCAGCUUGAGUUUUUCAGUCAAUCAAUAGAUUGUGCAGUUUCUUAGUCUUUUGGUCCACGUCUUCAUGACUUAUAGAAAGGGUUUCUUUCUUUUACAAGAUCAUGGAAGCUUCAGAAACCAUCCGAGAUCUUCUGGAAACAAGAAAUGUUGCAUCAAAGGGUUCAGUGGUCAUAUCAUAGUGAAAUCGAGUUUCUUGAUUUAGUCGAUAUCAAAUUCCCAACUUAGAAAUUAGAAAGGACUAAGAUUCUACUUCUUCCUCAAAUACUGGGAAUGUGGAUUCAAGUAUGAUAUCACUAUUCCACAGAUCUCAAGAAAACGAAUUGAACAAGUUUGAUGGCUGGAAGAAGAUAGGAAAUAUUCAAACAUGUAUUGCAUUUCAUCGAUCUCACCCUUUGUUCAGUGCCGCAUAAGUACUGACUUCUUGAACAGAUACCGGUACCGGUCAUGAAGGCUUCGCCCUUCUCAAGUCAAGUGCAGAAGCGAAAUCCGUUGAGCAAGAAGCCAGUGAUCCCACAACAUCAAAGUGAUACAUAUGACAUAUUGGAAAUUAGGCUUAGUUUGUAGCUGUGAAUAUAGUAAUGCACUUAUUUAUUGAGAAAUAUGUUCUUUCAAGUAGAGCAUACUCGGUAGAAAGGAGGUGGCGGAGCUGGGAAGAGGAUUAUACUUUAUCGAUUACUUGGACUUAGAGACCAAUUAUAGAAAGAAGACAGUAGCUGAGUGAGUUUUAUGGAUCUAGUUUAUGAGCAGCUUAACUAGAAAAGCAAGCAGAAGGAAUAGAAGAAUGAAAUGCAGAAAUAGGGGAAGGGCGGGUAGCAUUUUCAAAUGCCAGUUUGAGUGAGACAGUUUCUGUCUGGCCCCCCACUUUUAGGCUGUUCUUCCAUUCUGCCUUUGUCUUGCUCUAAGCUACCUGACUUCCUUCCUUUGUUCUUCCAUUCUACUUUGUCGGAUUCUGAUCAUCAGUUCUUAUCGAUCCCAUUUUAAGGACAAAUCCUGAUGUUGGUAAAAUAUACGUGUUGAUCAAGGCCAAGGACAAUGAAGCAGCCAUGAAAAGAUUGAAGAACGAGGUAUGAUGAUUACUUCGGACUACUUUCUGUUCUUCAUGCAAAUGACCAUAUUUUCCGUCUGCAAUACAGGUAGAAGAUACUGAGUUGUUCAGAUGUUUACAGGAAAUCCAUGGGAAAAACUACCACAGCUUUGUAUUAAGCAAGCAGGUUCCAGUCGUUGGUAAUUUCAGGGAAGCCAACAUUGGCAUUGCUCCUGAGUUAGCCAAAGAGAUCGCGGAAGAAGUGGAUGUUAUCGUAAACUCUGCAUCAAAUACCACUUUUGAUGAGAGGUUCGUGAAGCUAUACUAGUCUUGCACCAAGGAUUGCUUCCAUUACUAAAUGUGUAAGUUCACAUUCCAUAGCAAUAAAAGUAUUGCAACUUGCAGGUAUGAUGUAGCACUAGACAUCAACACCGUGGGGCCAUUCCGGAUAAUGAGUUUCGCGCAGCGGUUUCGAAGACUGAAGCUCUUCUUGCAAGUAUCAACAGGUCAGAAUGCCAAAUAAGAGUUUCUUGUGGUCGAAAUCAAAUGGUAACCUGUUUCUAUUAAUCUCAAAAGCUUACAAACAAGCUUUAGCAGUAUGUUUGCAUGUCAUGUUUUUGGCCAAACAGCAUAUGUGAAUGGGCAGAGGCAAGGUUUGAUACUAGAGAAGCCAUUUUGCUUAGGGGAUACCAUAACAAAGGGGAUAGGUUCCUCAGAUUUUUCGGCACAUCAGAAUACCGUGUUGGAUAUCGAGGCUGAGAUCAAGUUGGCUUUUUACUCCAGAAGGCAUUCUUCUGCCUCUGCUUCUGUUACUCAAGAAAUGAAAGAGUUAGGUAGUCGAGGUAUUCUAGUAUUUCCCUGUUACUUUCUCAUGUCUGUAGAUACGAAUACACACAUGAAGUAUUUGAUUUGUGCAAUUUAUUUAUUCAUAGGGCCAAACUCUAUGGUUGGCAAGACACUUAUGUGUUCACAAAGGCCAUGGGCGAGAUGGUCAUCAACUGCAUGCGAGGAGAGAUACCGGUGGUAACAAUCAGGCCAAGUGUCAUAGAGAGCACAUGGAGGGAUCCCUUCCCAGGUUGGAUGGAAGGAAACAGGUAAAUGCUAAACCCAAAUCUGAGGUUGCGGAUGUCACAUAUAUAUGUGAUGCAUCCUCGUCUGCUUACCAGAUAAUGAGCUAUUUCCAGGAUCUAGCAGUGCGUACUAACUUUUGACGGGUUGAUGGUGAGGAUCAAGUAUAUGACCUAUAUUCCUCACUAUUAGAGGACUUCAAAGAGGAGAUUCCAUCAUAAUCUCUGGAAGCUAGUGUCAAGGAAGCCGUUAGCCGUCACCUUAACUGAAAGUUGGUGAAGAAGGUGUAUAUGCCUCUUGUCUAUGGUAAGACACAGCAUAGUGCAGCAGCGGACAUCCAGAAGGGGCUUGACUUCAUUAGAAAACGUGCUGAAAGCAACAAAGUGGCGGACAUUUUUUUUUGCAUUCUGGGACAAUAAAUUCCCAGCCAUUGCUAGGCUGAGCCAUGUUAGCAAAGAAUGGUUUCUCCAACAAUAUGAGGAUAAAUCCCUUACUAAAAUGGUAGUGGUCACAAACCCCUUCCGUGUACAAUUGAAAACAUUAACAAUACGAAAGCAAGAAUCAUCAUUUAUACUGGGAAUGCCUUCCUCUACCAAAAGAGAAAGAGUUGAAGAUAACGAAGGAAAGUGGGUGGAUACAAAACCAGUUCAUAUCACUUGUCUUUCUGGUCUUUCAGAAUCUCAUCGAAUACUAGUAAAUGCUUUCGAAGAGAAAAUAGAAGCACUAGAGAGCUCAAGUUCACUUCAUUCAUCACAAGAUGCAAAUGAUAAUCAAAAUGGAGCUAAUGAGGAAGAAAUCACUUCUACUUAAACUUAAAUAGUUCAAUACCAACCAACACAUAAAGCAAUAACCAGAUAGAUAGAAUGAUAACAGGUAAUACGAAGAUAUCAACACAGCCGGAGUCACGAGGCUCGAUAAUGACCAAUGGGUUAGGAUCUGAGGAAGCUUAGUUUGGAUGAUGGAAUAUUCGCUGUUCUGAUUGUUGAGAUACUGCAAAUCCACUUAUCCAACAAUUUCAGUCCAUUUUCCUACUUUUUCUGCAAGGGGUUCAACCCCAUUCCUAUCAUAGAAGACCGGCACUUUUGGAUGAGGUGUGAACUAAGAUAGAUUUGAGGGCUGGUUAUCACCAAAUAAGAAUGAAAGGAAGAGGAUAUCUACAAAACAGCCUGAAGGACCGGCUUUUUGAAUUCAAGGUGAUGCCCCGGCAACCUUUCAACAACUCAUGAAUAGUGUUUUUAAAGAGAUAUGUUGGAAAGGGGUAUUGGUCUUUUUCGAUGACAUUCUAGUGUACAGUUCUACCAUGGUGGAGCAUCUCAAGUUGCUAGAGGAAGUGUUCCGGCAGAACAAACUUUUUGUGGGUGAGCCAAAUUUCAUAAAGGAAAUACAUUAUUUAUGAAAUUGGGGUAUCUACUGAUACAAACAAGGUAGAGGGCAUGACAGCUUGGCCAGAACCAGCCAAUGUCAGAGAACUCCGAGGGUUGCAGGGGUUAUUACAGGAGGUUUGUACCGGGGUAUGGAGCUAUCAGCAGGCCUUUAACUGAGUUGUUAAAGAAAGGUGUGGAGAAGAAGCCAGAAAAGCAUUUCUCAAGCUCAAAAGUGCUAUGGUAUGGUGAUGCCUUUGAACGUUGACUGGGAGAGCGGCUCGAAAGAGUUGGGACAGACUAGAAGCUUUGAAGUUUAUGUUCUUUAAUAAGAUAAUAGCAAUCUUGACUUACAUCCGGUCAAGAUCCCCGUGAAGGAAUGCUGAUUGAACAUCGAGCUGAUAAAGAGGGAGUACCAUACCCAAGAUACUCCAUUAAAGGAAAGGUAUGCUUGUUUGGUUUCUUUGGUCCGAGAACACACACCACAAACUCUCGCAGUCGAUGAGGAAACGUUAGUAAAACUACAUUUCAGUAAUCCGUCUGGCCUUAACCUCUACGCAAGGAGAUCUUACGUAUAGACCCAUGAUUAGGUAACUACUUCUUCUUUUAUUCGGAGUAUCCAAUGGAAAGUGGGCCUCUAUCUACAGGUCAUGGAUACCUGGGCGCUAGAAAGGUUACCGAACCAGGGUUAAGUGAGGCUGUUCAAACUUCACGGCCUUCACUAUCGGAUGUAUAUGAGUAAAAUCAGACAUCAGUAUCACAACCUAGCGUUAUCCAGAUCUUUCGUUGAUCCAGGCGAUUUUGGGAAGGACUCAGCAUUCUCCCACAAAAGGCCAGGCCUUGAGUUUCUAGCCGACUCAUAUAAGUCAGGGUGUAAAUUUUUUUUAGGUGACGUAUCUUUCUCUCUGAUGUUCUCCGUGGUCUCAAAGGAUGAUCAGUCGGAUAGCGACAUUGGUAAAUAAAAAGAAUAAGUUUACACGCCGGGUGCAUACUUCAGUGCCACUAAUUAGCGACUUUUUUUUGCCCUUUACCUACACCAUGUAGACCGGAGGAUUACACAGAAUCCCAUUGGCGAGUUUCAGACAGCUAGGUUAUUCAAGAAACUUUGAAUACCAACUCCAAUGCUUGGCUUGCUGAAUCAGCAUAUGGAUUACUUCAUUGAAUUUCUCGGCCCGAGCUCUUGUGAUUGGUCCACUUGGCAGGUGGAGUGGAUCCUUAGCAGGUUCAUGUGUUCCUUGUUUACGUAGCUCUUCUGUUGGAUCACGUAGCCCCUCCGUUGGAUUACGUUGCUCUGCCCUUGGAUUACUUGAGUCAUUUCUGGGUUUACUUGGCUGCUCCGCAACAUGUUGGUUACUUGAUCCUUCGCUUUGUUUACUUGGGAGCCCAAUACUUAUUGGUUGGGAAAAUUACCUUCCAAGGAAAAUGAUCCUCCCACUGGACCGAAAAACCCAUAUAUUCCCAUGGGAAUGGGUGGUGCUGAACAAGCAGGCAGGCCCAACGUUGUUUAUCUUUACUGCAAUCCUGGUUAGGUAAAAGGAAUUCCGCAGCAGCGGGUACGGGAUUAGUUACAACCAACGGAAAGACUUAUUUAAAUAAUAGGGAAUUUCCUCAUCCAGUCUACUCCUAGGACUACAUCAUAUGCUCCCAACUCCAUGGCCAACAAAUCAAACUUCAAUCGAUAUCCUUGCAUCUCCCACUGUACACCAGAACACAUCCCAUACAAUCGGCCCGAAGAGCAUCAAUGAGCAGGCCUACUAAAUAGGCAUAGAGAUACAUUAGCCGAGUUUGCUUACAACAACUGCUAUCACUCUAGCAUCGGAAUGGCACCUUUCGAAGCACUCUACGGGAACCUUUGUCGUACCCCGAUUUGUUGGGGUUGGCACGUACCGACCGACGGGGCCACAGAAGAUGAAGGAGAGUGCCGAGAAGAUUCCACUUAUUCUAGAUUAAAAGCAGUUCAGGACCAGGUACGCCGACCACGAUAUUUGGAGUUUGCAGUAGGUGAUCAUGCUUGACUUCGGCUUGAACCUACAAAGGGUGUGAUGCGUUUUUGAGUGAAGGAUUAGGUAUAGCUGACCGAUACAUCGGACCUUUCUUGGCCCAUAUCCCCCUAGCCCUUACUCCCUUGUUUCGGUGGUUGGUCUCUACCUUUUUCUGUCUCUUGGCUAGUUUGUCUUCCUCUUCUUUUUGAGGGUAACGUAGUAAAAAUCCUUUAUUUCAGGGGAUUUCCCUUUUCUUUCCAAAUGAAUUUAUGCUUAGUCUAAAAUUGGUAAAUACCAAAUAAUAAUAUAUAUAUAUUAUUAUUUGGUAUUUACCAAUUUUAGACNUUAGAAAUAUGUACCAGUUUCCUGAAACUAACAAAUAGAGUUAUAUCGAUAUAUCGAAAUAAGUACCCCUUUUGUAAUAUACUUCCGCAGAGUGAAUACGCGCUCAAUGAUGAACCUUCAAAAAUGCGUUAUGCCGCAAUAGGUACUAGUAUCAUUAUAGCAAGUUAUUUGACUUCGAAUGCAAUAAUUCCGCUAACAGCCUCUAUAAUACAAUGAAAAAUAAAUGAUCAAUUCUAUUCCACGAUGUAUUCCUAGUUUGAAAAGAGAUGAAUGAAGGGCAUGAUCAUUAUAAAGUAUACCCAUUUUUAUUUAUCCCAGCUGGGUUCUUGUUGAAUACCCAUAGAGCUCGGAUUCCGACGAUACGAGCAAAAGCUAUGAAAGCAUUAGGAAAGGGACACCCGCCUCCAUUUUGGAUUCGGUCUGUUCCAUCUUUUACCUUUGGAAAAAUAAAGGGAUUGGAGCCGCAAAUCCUUGUUGAAGAGGAUAUCGAGCACAAGAGUGAAGAGUGAAGAGUAGAGGGCGCAUUGGAUGUGCGCUCCCUAUGAACGAUGUCCCACUAGAAAUGGAUCUUCGGAAAGAAGAGUGUUUCUCUUGAUAUUUCUAUUCUAUUCUAUUUCUAUAAGUGAAUUAUUGAUCUUGAUCAAAUGGAGAAAAUGUAGAUGUGAAACUAUGUUCUUUGAACACCUUCUUCCAUGCUAUUGAAGCUGGCAAACAGGGGAGUGAGUGAAGAGAGAAGCCAUGCCUCUUUCGAUGUGAGGCAAGCGAUGAACGAGUAGAUGCUGCCCUUAGACCAAUUUUCUCUUUCGGUAGCUGACACCGAGAUGGGCUAGGCUAGGAAACCUUAUUCGAGACGAUAGGGAUGGUAAACAAAGCGAUGGGGUAUACGUACGAAUUGGAAUACAAAUGAAAUCAUUGCCUAUAAAGAUGAACCCGUUAGCGUAUAGGAACAACAGCAUAUGAAAGUUGGGUGGAUACUCCUAUUUAAUUGGUUUAACCAGAAACAGAGGAUAGGAUUCGAAAAGUCAACCGGAAACCGUGCCCUAAUCUUUAAUUGAGUUCAAUACCCCUACUACUAGUAUUGGCGUGGGUUCGUAUGUAUACAUUCGUAUUGGCUUAGCGGUGCACUUCGUAUCCCGCCACAUCCGAUCCUUUGCUUUGCUUCCUUCUUACUUUUAUGAUUUUAUUGACUACUCUUGUGCAGCUGGGAUAUAGUGAGUUGAGAAAGGAGAUAGUGAAACUUAACUAGUCUUUGUCAUGGAAGGGAGCAACUUCUCUCGAGUACGUACAGUACUGAGGAUUUACGAAUAGGCUAACGUUACCAGUACAUAGUGGAUCUAUGAUAGUGAUGUAUGGACCACACCAACCUCUCUUUCUAGCCGUAAUCGAUAAGAAAGGAAGAAAUAUCAUGGCAUGUGAAAGCAAUAAAUCUAUAAUAAAAUAGGUAAAGAAAGGCAAAUACUCCGGGGUAAUUGGCUUAUACCACAAUGUUACUCUGACAGGAUCCUUGACAAAAUAGUCUUGGCUUGUAACCCAGUAUUUAUUGGACAAUAUAACUGGCUGCUGAAUACGCGCGGCUAUCCUGCUAAUACUGGCAACCAAAGACAUGAGGUUCUUCAUACCAGCAUAAUCAUUCUCCCAGUAUUGGAAACAUACUUUUGUAAUAACAUGAAUGUCUUUAAUCUCUGUGUACCUUCCUAUUUGCUCUGUCAGCUCAUUAGCUGCUGCAAAUAUUUCUUAGCUAUUAGAUCCUCUUUCUUCAUGGUAGAACUCCAAGACAGAUGAUAGCUCUUGCUUGUCUUCAUGAAAAAGUGCAGAAGCCUGUAUCAAUGAAGAGUAGGCCGGUACCAGCAGAAGAUAGUAAAUAGUGAGGGAAGGUUGGCUUGACAGGCUUCGUUCUGGAUGUUGUAAUCUCUUCUCAUGGUCUUUGUUCGCUUUAUUAUCCCGUUGUGAGAAUGGCUAGGACUGUGGAUCCACACGCCCCUCUAGUCAGUACUUUCCGAGUAGCGCAAGGCUUCUUCGUUGGCAAAUAAACGAAUUAAUGAACUAAUUUCCUAAUAUGACGUGAACUUGAACUAGCAUUGAUCAAGUCCAUGAGCUCAUAAGAAGGAGUUCUUCACGUGAGAAAGUCCACGGCUUAGCUUAAUUCAAUAAAAAAGAAAGUAUCCAAUCGACUUUAGGAGCGCCAUAUGUUUCUAUCUGAAACGGUAAAGCGAGGCUCGCUAUAAGGGUCAUAGCUAGUUCAGGAUUGGUAGGAAAGUAAUACAAAUGAUUGUAAUAUGACAACCCCCAGGGGAGCUAGCCUUUGUGUUAAGAUUAAAAAGAAGAGCCCUCUUUUCAUACGACUCGGUGAUUCCAUUGCUCUAUCCGGCCGCAAGAUUCGAUCGCGUACAGCACGAGCACGAGAUGGGUUGGGGACUUAGAAAUGAGCUAUGCUCCAAGAAUUGACCCCUGAACUACCUUUGCCCGCCUUUUCUUGUAGAAUCCAUUCCCCCUCUUUUAUAUAUUUAGAAUGCUUUUAGGGCUAGUGGAAUGAGGCUGGAACCCAUCAAUAUCGCUAAACCGGGAGAGUUGCUUGUGUUGGGUUCAAAGUUUCGCUCUACCAAGGCAAGAUAUAAUAGAAUAUGCAUCCAGCUUUAGCUGAAUAUAGUGAGUGUUCAGCGAAAAAGAAGCUAUCCCGCUAAAUCUUCCCGUGGGGCCAAGGUUUGUUUGACAUAAAGAUAGAUAAGUGACCUUACUACACACCCAUGGGUGAAACUCUCACUCCGAUUUGAUUACCAGGUUGGGGAUAGGCAAACUACUUAUCAAUGCAUUUGUGUUGCUCUGGUGGCCACAUAUAGAAGAGUUGUUAGUGAAGUUAGCUAGAAAGGGUCGUCAUUUCCCUACCAUUCAAUCUUCCACCUGCCAGAUUUAUCGUCACUAUUUUAUUAUAGUGGGUAUCAGUAUCCAUUGGAUAAAUCCCUCCGCAUAACACUUCAACCCUGACUUUUAUUGAUAAGACGAAUGUCUACUCUGCGUGGUUAACAAGCGUUUUCCGAAUCAUCUAUACCUUCUCAUCAGCCUCCUGGACAAGAUCCGGAGCGCUUCUCCCGAUGGACUUAAGCUCUUACGUAGUAUAUAGUGACUGUAAGGAAUAGAGCUUAUGUAUAGUGCCUGUACGGAGCCACCCACCUCAAUGGUGAAAUGGUAGCAGCUAUUGUGUUGUAUGCGAACUCCCAGCUGAUAGGCAAGAGAGGGGGCGGCUAGCAAGGGAAAGGAAAGCCGUAUCUUUGGCUAAAGUAUGUCAUAAGACAAUAUAUCAGUGGUCUAUACUGCCUGAAUCUGAGCCUGAACUGGUGCUGCACAUACAUGACCAGGAUAAUAUUAUUCUCCACACUUAUAACACAGACCAUUAGCCCUUCUCUUCUGUAUUCCUUCAACUGUUUUGCCCCUUGUCGAACUUUGACUGAGACAUAGCCUUGCUGCUGCGGGGCAGCCGACUUAUAAUUCUAGUUACUGUCCUUCUUGUUCAUGUAGUGCCUGCCUCUCUCCAAAACUCCUUCCCGCACUUGAUUGAGCAAAAGAUGCAGCUUCACUAAUUGAGUUAGGCACCUGCACUUCCACUGCAGCUCUGAGUUCAUUCUUCAGACCCAAAAGAAAUUGUGUCACCAGCAGCAGUCCUCCUACAUUCAGAUCAUACAAUUUAACCUAGCGGAGCGGAUUCAACUACUUAAGAUAUUCUUCCUCAGAGCCAGUCUGCUCUCUAUCAUCAUCUAUCGUCUAAAUAAGUAAAUAAUGAAACCGAUAUAGAUCUUGUUGAGGACCCCCAUCCAAGCCAUAGGAAAGAAAGCCACUGGAGUGCGACGCUCAAAGCAAAAGUAAGUAAUAGGGAAACAAGGUUCUAUUAGGCUUGCAGGGCUGCUGCUCUUUGAAAGACGAGGUCUAGUGGAAGAGGCGGGUCGGGCAAGUUGAGUACUCAGAUUCGGCGCUUGCUUGACAUCUCUCUUUGAAUCUGAAACCUGACAUGACCAUUGAUUCCGCCUCCAUUGCCGGAAAGGAUAACGAUGGAUCUUUAGCUAGCUCAUAGGCAGAGGAAAGGUAUACGUUAACAGAUAAGGAAAAGUGGAUCCGCUACCAAAUACGUUGUGGAGCCGUGUUCUCCAGGGAGGUUUGAGGGUUCUUGGGAUGGGUUCUAUGUUGCUGCCCAUUCAUUUCCUAUUAAUAAGGAGAUAUGUAAAGCCAGUCAUUCUAUUAAAGAGAACUUCCAGUGGCAGAUUUUAGAUGGUAAUUCGGUGCGAUUGUUAUAAGACCCUUGGCUCGGUGGGACUGCAUUGAAUAGAAGGCCUAUUCCUAUGAACAUGUCAGAGCUGUUGGAAGGUUUGUCUCUCUCCCACUAUCUCAUUCCUAAUAGGGAUUGGCAUCUUAGUUUAUUAGCUUUUUUUCUCCCUGAUGAGGUGGUGCGAGAAAUUUCAGCUGUACCAAUUCCUAGAAGCAUCUGUUCUGAUACUUUGACAUGGGGGUCUUCUGUUCACUCUGACGAUUAGGAUGAAGGAAGUAUACAGGGAGGUCUGCCAGCCAUUUAAUGAGGAAGGUGGUCUUCAUUUCUCUUGCGUAUGGAAGCUUAAGGUCAUUCCCUGCAUUCCGUUUUUUUGGUGGAAAGCUUAUUGGAAUAGACUUCCGUGCAGAGAACGAACUUCUUGUCUCAAGGAAUUUGCUCCCAUUGUCUCAGUGUUUUUUUUAUGUUUGUGAAGGGGUAGUGGAGGACAUAGACCAUGUUCUGGUGAAGUGCACAGUAGCUAAUCAAGUGUGGAUGGUUGGUCUUCCUGAACUCUUUGAGCUGGAGCUUUGGACUCUACGAGGUAUUGGGUGCUUGCCCUAUUGAGAGUAUCUUACAUUCUCUCUUCACCAGACAGAUAGACAAAUAGGCAAUCCGAUAGAAAGAUUAUGGCUUCCUUACUAUCAGCAAGCUCCCACAGGCGAUGAACUGCUUCUGACUUCUUCAUUCGGUUUGUAGCCAUACCGUAUAGAGUGAAAAAUGCCUUUUUUUGGAAGUAGCUAGAUUCAAGCAAGCAUCCUAGCAAAACGAUCUUUUGACAAUGGGCUCUGCCCAACACUGGGACUGACUGACUUUAUACAGAGAUAGAAAAGGCAGCAAUCCAAGCUCUUUUUGAAUCGGAUAUUGGAUAGGCUAAGCUAGGUGUAGCCCGCUUUCUCUACGGUUUUGCUGAACUUGUCAAGCCCGGGGGGCCUUUAGGGAAUUUUGGAGAAUGAUAGAUUCUAGGAUAACACGGCACUAAGGUUGAAAGGGAUGGCAUGGGUUAAGCAUCUUACUUUGGACCUUCGAGCUAAGUUAUUUAAUAAGGGGCUUCUCCUACUAAUUAAUUGGAAAUCCUUUUUACAAAUAUCCUCCUCAGAGCGCCCUGUAACCUUACCUUUUCUGAAUGGUACACUUUAAGACGUUCAGAAUAGAAGAAGAGCAGUCGUCGAUUGAUUGAAAGUGGAUUGACGGCAUUCAUCAGUUGAUUGAAAAUGGACUUUUCUUUUCUGAUCGAGCGAGGUCCCUUUUGGGCUUAAAAGUCCUUUGAGCCGUGGAAUCCCUUUUGUCUUGAUUUAGGAGAAUAGGCGCAUUGAUUAGGUUACGUGGUUUGAGCAAUCUGCAGGAAGUUUCUUUUCUAUUUAUUAUAUAUACCAUUCAUAUUCAAGUAAGACGGAUAGGGCAUAUUUGACUAGGAAGCAAGCAAAGCAAGUCCCUCCAUACCAGCUAGCAGUCUUGUUUAGGGAGUAUCCUUCUUUACUGAGUCAGGUUCCCGGGUGCCUAUGCGAUUAUUAAGGCAGGGUGCUACUGUACCAGUAGUAGAGUGGCUUGAAUCAAAUCGUUUGUCUAGAGAGGGUGUAGCGAUAACCAAAGCUGACUGUACUAGAAACUUGAGAUCCUGUAUAGGCAACUGGCCUUAGAAUAGUGUAUUGAACUACAGGACAGGAACGACCCAUAAUCAUUGGCGAAGAAGGCUUGGAAAAGGAUAAAACAUAUUGAAGAGAAGCUUUCACAAAGGCCAAUAGCCGAUAGCUGAUGUCACUAGCCUUAACUUCUUUAUCUACUUGAAAGCUGAUGAGAGUACGGCUUUCUUAAAGGAAGUGUCCGUGCCUAUGAUAUUUUUUCCUAGUAAAGUAAAUAAAAUUGGAUUCGCCUUUUUCCGUAUAUAUAAAGGCAAGGGAAGCUCUUCGUCGAGCUUCUUAUCCAUUGAAGAAAAAGACAGACUGAAACUUUAAGACUCAAACCUGCCCCUUUAUUAUUAUUAGUAAGUAAGAUAGGUUGCUUGAGCCAAUCCUUAAAUCGUGGGAGGAAAAGGCAUAAAAGUGAGCCCACCCGACUAAAGGGGAGAAAUUCAGAACUUCAAAAUAAUCGAAGAGUGGUCGGAGGUUUGAUAACCCAAGGCAAAUCCACUUCACGUUAUCUUGUUCCUGGUCAAGCUCCCGUACCCGCUCCUUAGUCCCAUCCUCCUCAUCGAAUUAAAGUAACGUAAGGUUUCGUAAGAAACAAUUGAAUAAGCGUAUCAAAGAGAAUGAGGUCUAGCACUCCGAAAUACCAUCGAGAAAGAGCAAUAGAACAAGGUUAGAAUAAGAUCUCCAAAAUGGGUGGGACAACCAAAGGCAAUUCAAUGGAUAAUCGGUAUACUUAGUGCGUAGGCAGGCCCAACGGUAUCCAAUCAAUGUAGUCGGCAGAACAAAGGAAACAGGAAUGAGAGAUAAGAAAAAAAUCUAAGUACCGAGAGGAAAAUAGAGCUCGAAUCCAUAGCAUUCUCCACGCACCCACCAUUCAUUAGCAGCGACCUUACCACACAUCAUUACCACCAACCAUUUCACUCGAAUCUGUAGCUUUGCUACCUUCGCAACUAGAGGAAAUGAAGAUAUUCUUCCUUUAUUUCUCUUUCUUGGCAUCAAUAACAAAAAGAACCAUAGGUGCACCAACCAAGGCAGAGAUUGGAGAUACUACGAUUGGAGUGCAGUGACCAUACCCGAGAUAGAUCUGAACCGACGGUUGCGGAGAAUAGAAUAGGUACAACGGAAAAUCAUGGGAAUAACGAGAGGGUACGUAGGGAACAUGGCUGACCAAGCUCCUUUUUCUAACGAUUGCAAAAAUUGGCCGGUGUUCUUCCCAACUGCUCCAAUAAACGUGCCUACACCCCAUUCCGUCUAGAAAAUGAUAUGAUUGACCGAUAGUACUUAUGAAACCCGGCACUGAACUAAGGGUUUGAUUUGCGACCUCCUGAACUGUUCGCAUUGCUCUCUUCGGUUCAAGGCUAUGAUGAAAGUUCAGAUCGCCUUCCUAACGUACGGAAUACGGAAUUUAGUCGAUGCUAAACCUCUGUUCUAGCUGAGACUAACGGCACAGAUUUCUAGUGCUAUAACAGAAACUGCCCUUAACGCGCAAAUGAAAGCCCUCACAACACUCUUUACCUGCAACUGCUCCCGCUUAUGGUAGUAGAUAAACAGGUGGUGGACAUGUAUCUGCAGCCUCUGCUGCUGGUAGAUUGACUGUUUUAUAUGGACUGAAAAAAAACGGAGGGUAGUGCUUGAGAAUGCUACUCUAUUCCUGGAAUUAGCCAUCCCCUUCUUUGACUAUUCGACCUGCUCCUCGAAGCAAGGAAGGGAAUGAAGAUGGCAUUGAAUGCCCUUUCCGCAAGAAGGAUAGGAGUUGGCUUACCGCAUCUACCUUCUCAUCGCGGGAUAAGGGCUGGGGCGUUAACUUAAGUACUAAAGCUGCUGGAGCGGCUGCCUUCGUUGAUUCCCCACGAAGGAAUCGGAAUAUCGCUACUUCCCCUUACUGCCCUAAGCGGGGGAGAUGGAUUAAAAACCUUGUGUGAAGGAAAGGCUGUCAAAGUCGUUGACCAUUAAUCCGGUUGAAGGACAAAUGGACAGUGAAUCAACGGAAUCGAGUUGUUCUAAGGAUUCGGAUUCGGCAGUCGAGACAUCUAUAUCUAUGGAAUUUCAAAAGAGAGAAAAGGAUCCGAAUCCGACCCGAGGACGAGCUCAAACCUUAGGGUUUGAAAAUAAGAAGUAAAGCUCUCGUUUACUUCAAUCAAAAAAGGUAGGUCAUAACACAGAUUGAAUUAGACCUUACUCAAUCACUCAUCGCUGGAAAAAGUAGAGCGAUUUCCUCGCAAAAAAAGCACGUGCGAGAUAUUCUUCCUUAACAGGGAUCUCAAUUGCGGGAAGAAGUACAAAGGGCAAAGGCAGAAGUGGAAGGGUCAAACUCCUCUAUCGGCGAAAGACAGGAAGGAUAAAAGUGUAAAAUCACUUGUUUGAAACAUCUAAAAAAUAGAAAUGGCUAUUAGAAGUUGUAUUUUCGGUGGUCAAAGGGAAGGAAUCAGAAAAGAGGGAAGCGCUCUCAAGGUAGAAUCAGUUCCAGGCAAGUAUGUCCAUUGAAAGGAAAGAGUCCCUAAACAAAACAGACAGGUUUUCAGCAAAUAAGACGGGUCCUGGUCUUCGGCAACAAAAGAAGCCGAAGCGAGAGCUCAAUCAAAGAACCUUUAUAGAUCCUCAUCAUCCUCAGGUUCUGGAUACACAGCGAGAAGGGAAUCUUCCUGUUCGAAUGGAAGAUUUUCGAAAGAGAGGGGAGAAAUCAAUCACAUGCGUGAGCGGAUCGAGCUAUUAUAUAAUAAGUAACGGCUGAAAAAGCUAUUCUUGGUAGAUCCACUUGUCAAGGCGCGGAAAGCCGUGUUCCUUCUCAGCUCACACUUUCCUGAUUGAUUUGAAAGACCCUACACACCACCGUAUCCUUGGCUUUCUUCCCACUUUCAAAGAACUUGCUAUCAUUCUUUCGAUUCUAUCUCCUCGCUUUAGGUCUUAUGCUUCUUAUUAAAGGGGUUAUGCCACUCCGAGUCCAUCAGUGUUGAAGGAAUGGACAGAGACAGGCAAAGACAAAGUACUGAUUUGACUACCGAUAGAGAGCAGAGCUAGAGACAAGAUGCCUAGGACCUGGAGGAGAUCCAUAAGAACCAAGUCGUGGAGAAGAUAGCAUCAAACUGGAGAUAAUAAACCUAACUCUCCGUGCUUUAAUCGAGAAUGGAUACAGGGUCGUCGAGCGAAACCUUUAUUAGGGGGUAGACCUACCUUGUUUUGUUGACUUAUUGCUUUCCAGCAAAGCGUGCCGGCCCUAUCUCUAAAGCACCAAACUUCCACAUUUUAGGAGAUGCCCUAUCUUCCCUUAAAGAGCCAGCUUAUUGAAUAGAGCUGUCACUCCUUACCUUACCUAAGACCCCUUCGGGAUAUCUUUUGAAAACCUUUUCUCUGAAAAGAAAAGAUGUUUGCGAUCCCUUGCCCGCUCGAUUAAAGAAAGUGGGAUCUGGCCUUGCAUUUUUUAGAUAGGGCUCCCUCACGGCAUUCUUGCUCUUGCAUUUGAAAGUCGAAUCAGGAUUCCAUCUAGAGAAAGGUUCCGAAUGGAACUAGUGAAUGUGUAUGCCGAACGUAGGCAGGUAUACCUGACCUUUGAUAUUAAGCUAUGAUCUCUCUUCUCUCUCUUGAAGUUCCCACAAAGCGACUCUGAACCUAAGACCGGGUUGUGGGAUGUCUUUUGAUAUUCUAAACUAAGAAAAACGCAAUUGGAUUUCUUUUUAUAUCCCUAUGAUAGGAAAUGAAAGAAAAGGUCGAGCUUAAGUCGAUUCCAUUGCGGAAAGAAAAGAGGCUCUCCCAUUCCCACCUGAUACGUCAAAAGCAAUUGACUAAUAAGGGGAACCAACCAGUCGAAUUCGAUUGAUUAUGUCACUCCGCAUUACUAUAAAAGGGCAGCAGCUUUCUACUAAAAUGGGCUUUGGCACUCCUUCCGCUAUUACUCGAAAUAAUAAUAAUAGUGAAAGGGCAGUCGAAUUUGUGACUACGUCAAAGGCUCGUUUCACUCGAAUUUAAAGGCUGUAACUCCUACUUAUUUCUAUUAAUUAAAGCUUGCCCAUGGCUGCUUUCUUCCCAUUCUUUCUUCUUUCCACUAAUCUAAUGGUUUCAUUCUCCCAUCGAGAGGUUAUGAUACUAGCAAGAGUCCUAUUCUUCUCCUCUCGAUCCUACCUUGGGUUAUGUUUGACAGGGAUGGUCAGUGAACUUCUAUUGGUUUCAAAGGAGGAUAGAGAUCCAUUGGGGAAGGCUCGAAAGGUUAUUCGAUAUCAAGGUUGACCCUCGACGCGCCGCAGCCACUAUUUUUACUCCUUUUAUGCAAUUAUGAACGAAACUUUCUCGAUUCCAAUGCAACUUAUCCUUUUGGAGUUGACGUAACAAACUACGCGAGCCUCCCGAUGAAGCCAACAGAAAUCCUAUCCGAAUACUAAAAAUAAAAGGCAAUUUCAUUAUGGUGGUAUACCAGCCGCCAGUUCUGGAACUUCCAGUUCCAAUCGGAGCAUAUAGAUCCGUAAAUGGAUUUGUAUGUAUAGCCACUUCAGUCGUGCUCCUCGUUUCUCGAAUGGAAAAAAAGUAUCUUCUUUCUGGGAACAUGCUAAACCAGAAAUUCUUAUGUUCGUGAUUCUUCAUCCACCGAUGCAGAAAAUCUUCCAGUUUUCCAUUCUCAUAUGAGGCAGGAAAGUUUAUGGGCAACAGGUCGGCACGAAGUGAUUCAUCAUGUUCAAACAUGAACCUUUCGCUCGUUGGGGACGGUUUAUAAAUCAUCAAAUUCCCACAAAUGGAAUGAGAAGUGGGUCCAUGUAAAUGAUCGAGACCUCGCAAACAACAACGUUCCUUCCCCAUAUGGAGUUCGGGACCCAAAGGCAAUCGUUGAGUGAACUGUAUCUUAUUCGUAUUAGUUGACCUAAGCCGCACCAUUAUUGCAGGGGUGGGGCUCGGCCUCCGAACCGUACGUGGGACGAGUUUCUGCCUCAUACAGCUCGGGCCGAAGACCGGGGAAGUUGAGGAGAGAUGGGGAGACCCAACUGCUGCCGGUCGGGACGGACAGGAAAGGGGGCGGGGAUAAGCUUGUGAAGAAGCAAGCUUAUUGCCCCACCCCCCAAAAACAAACCGAACCCAGCAAGAAAACGUAUCCGCUUUAGCAACAAAGCGCUCAUCCCUUGCUUGCUGCUUCGCGUUCUUUCUAUUCCAUCCCAGUCCAUUCCGGGAUAGGCGGCUAAUAUAAUAUGUGCAGUAGUCGUCGUCUGACCAAUCGGCCCGGACACCAGACCGCUUGUGCCCGCCCAUUCUGUCUCGCCCUAAAUGGAAUGGCUCUCUUAGUUACGCUGUGCCCCGACCCGAGUCCCCACGUCCGCUUUUAUCCGCCCGCAACCCGGCCAACACAACAUUAGGGCCGUCCCCCCCAUUCUAUGCUGACCCGGGCCGGGGAUCGCUUUUUGGGAAGCCCGUUCCCACCGCGCUCACGGCCCGGCUGGCCUGCCAGCGGUAGUGGGAAUUCUCCCGUUCCCUGGUCAAAAAAGGGUUGGUUGGAUGCGGGAUCUACUCCACGAGGAGCGGUACGGACGUAGAUGAUAUCAUCACGACCUCUCUUUGCGUACCGCUAGGGAUGCUUAACGCCACUUCGCCAACUGGCAUUACCUGCGCUUUCGUGUCUCUCAGUGUGGUCAGCACUGGGUGUUUCCGAGCAGCGAGGCUUACACCCAUUCGCAUUAAUUCAUCCAAAGUUCCUUACCCUUAUGCACGAAUUUUGGAAUAAGGCAUCUUCCUAUCAAGGUUAAGGAGUCAACUGAGCAUCUCAGCGGCGGGAUUGAAUACCCGGAUCGAAUCAGAGUUCACGCCGCCCGCCCUGAACAAAUAGAAUAGGAGGCGUGGGCCACAGGUCGCACAUAAGCCAUCGGGUCGCACGACAGAAGAACACCCAACAUAAAGAUGCACACUCCUCCAUGUGAAAUAGAAAGAUUCAUCUUCACUUUUUUGUAGUAGUCGUGACCAACAGCCAUCAGCAGUCGGCUCGUUGGUAAGGCGAGAGCUUCAAGCCCGCUUUCUGGUGGCACACCCCCCAAACAAGCACCACUCGACGAGGGGGGGGCGGGGAAAGCUACAGGCCCAAAACCUUCGACCCUUCUUUCUAUAUGGGGGUGCCCGGGGCACCUCAUCUUGUCAUUUUGUUGCUCAUUCCCCUUAGGCCGAAGUGUUUGGCCUUUACUUCGGAGCGCCCGCUCACGCUUCGCUGACCUAUCGCGUGGUAAAGAGAAGAGAGUACGAAAGAAUUGUAAACAGAGCAGACCGCAGAAAGAUUCUAAAUAUGACAAGUCCCCCAUGGAUUCGAUAAUAAGGAAAUGAAGAACGGGAACGAAACGAAAUAAAGCAUUUCUAGCGGAUGAGCUUCUCUCCAUUUUGUCUGGUAAUAGAAUAGGGCGGCUUGCUUUGACCAACACUCCACUUUUAGCUCUGUCCAUGGAGCGUAUGAAUUUCCUUAAAUGUAGAUAGACCAAAAAAGGGAAUAAAGGGAUAGGAAUAGGAAUUAUAGUACCAUUGGAAGAAGAGGCACCAGUGGGAACAUCUCUACUGACGAACCAUUUCAAUAGUACGGGUGCUGCCGUGCCACGGGGCACGACCAUGGAAGUAAUGAAAAAGAAGAAGUUCUGUAGUUGGACCAUCUGCUCUAUCCGUUCGAUUUGAGCUUCUCCAGAGAAGAUGAGACGCUAAAAAUGAAAGUGUUCGCAACGCAUACCGAAAAAGGGUACCUAUGUUGCCGACCAUUAAUGACUAGUUUGAAGACCAGGAGCAGGGGCACGUGCCAAGAAAGAUUUGUUACUUUCCCUAUGGUUUUCGAACGUUUUCAAUAAAACCUUCUCGUAGAAGUAUUUUCACAAAGUUUUCGGUAAUAUUAGUAGAUGCUAUUCGAACCCUUCCUUUUAUUAAGAUUAGAAUUCUUAUUCUUAUUAUUAUCUAAUUAUUCUUUUUUUUCAUGUAUAUGCGUCAGACACAAUCUACUAAUUGAUCUAUAUUCUGAUACCCUACUAUAUCAUAGUCUCUACUACUAGUAUUUUUAAUACCUCAGGAGCUCAUGAGACUCUUUUAGUGAAAUUCAUAAGUCUCAAUUCCCGAGCGAUCGCNUUAUCCGCUACAUUCAAAAGGGUCUGAGUGAGAUGGAUCUUGGAAGUCUGGUUUUUGAUUGGAUAGUGAUCUCGGGCACGAGUGGUUGAUCUUCGCGGGCCGUGAAUGGCCAUGGAAAGGAGUAUUGAUGUCAAUAUGUUCGAUCGAGAAGAUUGGACGAUGAAAGACGGAUCCUUUGUGGUUUGAAUAAUAGGCUGUGGUCUCGAUAUUGGGCUAUGGGCUGAUUGCUUUCUGUAUGAGCCUCUUGUGAUUGGGCUCUCGUGGGCGGAUUACCCGAUGUGUACUCAUCUUCCAACAAAGAGGAGAGGACAGGGCUACUGCUGGUCCACGCAUGAGAGCUCCUCUGUGUCUUUCCGGAAAUUACUUCGACUCGCAAAGGUGAUCCCAGCCCACAAUACAAUCAGUAGUUUACUUAACUGAUAUAAAGAGUUUCCCCUGCCUGCCCCUACUAUCAAUUGAUAAUACAUAAAUGAUCCGGGGCUAGUGUUGGGUAGCCGGGCCCACUAGAAUUCAAGUGCUUCUUAUCGAUUCAAUACGCCCUUAACGGAUCCCCGUGCUUUAUCUCCAUUGGGUGGAGCAAGACCCUUGUCCUAUCUUUUCUUUACAGAGCAAUAGAAAUGAUGGUUGCCCCUCGCUGCACUGACCAAUGAUAUCUCAGAAGAGAGAAAGACUUCUAUAACUUGCCAAUGAUAUCUAGUGGGCACUACGAACUCCAGGCAUACUGUACUUGACCACCCUACUUUGCUUUGUCCCUAUUAGGCGAAAUCAAUACUUACUUUCAAUUGGUAGAGAGGAAGAAGAGAACUGACACUAGUAAUAGGUUGAUGACUUCUCUUAACAGAACUGACACUAGUAAUAGGUUGAUGACUUCUCUGACUUAAUAGCUGGCCGACUUCUCUUCAUGGAUCACCGUUCUAUAUAGUUAGGCGCAGCAUCGCGUUUAACCACCUAUCCCUAUUCCCUCAAUCGAUACCGUCCAACUAUCCUUUUAUUGGGACAGCAGCAUACUUCUCGUUAGGGACAAUAGUUCCUAUACUUAACUAACCUCUGUGCGCAAUCACUGUUUGACACAUCAUUCUUUCAGCUUUUCGUUCUUGACGACUCUGUUUGACGGAGCCUGACCUUGAACUAGCUUUUUGCAACACAAACCACUAUCUUUACUUUCCUUUAGCAAUAGUAUCUAACUAUCAAUUCAUAAGAGUCAAACGGGUGGGUCCAUCCCAUCUAUCGACAGGUCCUGAUACCGGAUCUGGGAAACAAGCAAUACUCGCCGCAAUUCCUUAAUGAAAAAAAGACCUAUCUUCUCUUGAAAGACUGUCCUUUCCUCGCUUGUUAUUGUGAUAUCAAUGAAAGAAAGCUGGAUACUGACUUCUUCCCAAGAGCUCUAUCAGCCCUGAAUUCCUUAGCCAUACGACUCUUCCUUAGUUUCCUAAUGCUGGUGGCCCUAGCUAGUGGUGAGACGGGGCAUAUACUAUUCUCGGUCUUAUAACGAAGAGGUUGCCUAGUUUGAACCGAACACUGUACUUGAUCUCUCGUCCUAUCACAAACAAGUCUCUUCCCCCGAGUCCUAGUAGACUAGUCCAAGUAGUCCGGGACAAUAGCGUCCCGUCUCUUCGCUGACCCCUGGCACACAAUCACUAUAAGACAAAGCAAGACAAACCUCUCUUAUCCUUCUCGGCUAGAAGUUACAAGUUUCCUGUUCCGGUUUCGGCAUGAGGGAAGUGCCUGAAAUCGAUUCAAUUCUUAUCUCCGAUUUCGAACUCCGGCUGGAUUCUUAUGACCAAGAGCUAUUUUCUUGGUCAGAAGAAUGGAAGGACAACGAGAAGAUGGUUCGGUUGCUCCUGCUGGAAUAUUCCAUUUAUUUAAUACUCCGACUCGCGUAACCCCGAAUGGCAAUGUUGUUAUUGCGGUUGGUCAGAUCAAUAAGACAACAAGGGAGUCAGAAUAUUCUGAUAAUAGCAAACAGGGCUUUGGAAUCUAUGGAAGGAGCCUUCAAUGCUUCUCCAGUGUCAACCAUUAGUCGAUAACAGAAUGAAAUGCCACAAUUAAGUUGAAAAAGAGAGUCAUUAAAAAGAGGCAUGCUUGAAAAAGAGUACAGAUAAUAUGUUAUGGAUGUGAGGAGCCUCACCCAGUACUUUUCUUACUAAACUAAAAAACUCUACUCUCCUUUCACAGCCAACCCACCCAUUGCUAUUUCGAGCUCGAUAAAAAGGAAAGUUCACGUGCCAAUCCUUACCAUUGGUAACUGUAAUUACCAAGCCUAAUCUUUCACUGAAUACCGAGUAAAGCAAGCAAGAAAGAGGGAAGGAGCAGCUGUUUUCGAGCUAGGCUCGAUCCCUUUUUCAUCCACUUCUCGCUAUUUUUAAUUCUACUUGAAUUAGUUCUUCCUAAGUUUAGUGAGGUGAGUACUGCAUCCAUAACUAGAGGACUUGCUUUUCUGCUUGGCUCCCAGGGGAAGUUGGAUUGGAUAAGAGGAAUUGAAGCGCAAGGAAGGCAGUCGGUAUUCAAACAACUAUUCAGAGUUCCCAACUCUGGGUAAAGGAAAUCUGUACUUGACGACUGAACCAAAUCCUUUGCCUUUAUUUAUUCUAUUAUUUUUAUAUAGAUCAGCUGAAAACAAAACAAAAAUACUACUACGUUGGGACAAUGACCCACCUUUCUCUGCUCAACCUGUCAUCUUCUCUCCUCGCUCCCUGGGACAAAUAAGACUAUUUAUUAAGUGAUAAACAAGAGAAACUAGUGAUAUUAUCUAAGCUUCUGGCCAUGUCUGAUUGGCAUUCAAGUCUGCCUUCCAUUGCUUGAAAAGGCCUAGCACCGUAAGUAGCAAUUGGCUAUGUCCAAACUCAAACGUCGUAUUUUAUCUAAGCACAGGAGUCGUAAUAAGGAAAGAAGACAUAAGAAUGGGAAGUAUCCGCUAGUUAUAACGUAGUAUAAAGAGAGCUAUUUCAUGGAUCUUGGUCACAAUAAAAAGAAUCCAAUAAUGAUCUAUCAACUAAAUGAGUUUAUUAUAUAAUCCCGUAUCUUCAAGGUUGUUAAGAUGAUUUAGUAGAUGUGUCGGUAUCGUUUUCAUCUGCCGUUGGGAGUGACUGCUUUGCUAAUCUAUCCUUUUAUCCUUCUUUUCGGAGACAAGCACAUAUUACCGUAACCUAGUGAUUAAUAUAUCCUGUUGGUACUACUUCGUCGAGCAAUCAAUCCUUUUUCCAUUCUUGUUCUGAGGUUGUCAGCUUCCUCCGAUGGCACCACUUGUACUCUCUGUCGGAAUCUGUAGACAUAGUUUCUGGGCGUCUUUAAAAACUGAUCGACAUAGUUGUCACACACAAACCUGCGCAACGGCUUUGGAGUAAAAGAAUCUCCUGCCCGGUCACACACAUCAUCUCGAGCGCGGAAUCUACUACUCUAACAAGAUACUCGGCUCGGGUAAAUCAUGCUUUCGUUAUGCGAGGAAAGUGAAAGGAAAGAGGGAAAGGGAGACACUGGGCAAUCCGGAAUCGAUGAAAUCACUGUUUUUUCGCCUUGUAAUAUGUCCGGUUACAUUCCAAAGAUGAAUCAGACCAGGAGAUAGAUAAGCGCUAUGGCGGACACAUGGAAUAAGAAUUUGAAAAGUAAUGAUCAACUUUAUGGAUCCAUAGGUAGAUUCACUUGUGAAGCUAUGGGAUGGGACAAGAUUCAAAAGUACCAAAAGUAAGUUAAGUGGGACGCUGAGUUCAUUGCUGCGAUCGAGGGUCCAAAGCUUUGGGAGAAGAGGGGAUCUGUACCUUCAUCUGAAAACUAUUCGCCGGUUGUCCGCAUUCCUCUCCUCGAGCGAAAGGUGUUCCCACGCAAUCGCUAUCGCUGUUCCUACGACGUAGUCAAUACGCAUUGGAAUAAUGGCAUCCCCUCCACCAUAGUAAGAAGUAACGGGUCUACGCCCUGCUUCCUUGUUCGGUUCUGGUUACGGGAACGGUUGACUUUCGAAAUAAAAUACCCUUCUUCCCUGUUUUGCAAAUUCACCUAGAGCUAGCGAAGCGAGUCCGUUUCCUAAGGACGAGCGAUGAAGAGCUUUUUAGAAUUAAAUAUUGGUCUACGCCCUCCUUUGAUGCCCAGAGGAAGAAAAGCGAAGGCAAAGCAAUGGCAUGGGCAUGAAAGGCUACGUAAAUAAGUACUUCCCCGAAAGAAAGGGGGCAGUCUAAGGCGGGACCUAUCCACUACUUGUGAAGUAAUAGAAGAGAGGAUUUCUCGUAUCUAGCGGAAGUACCACUACCAAUGCUAGGCUCCGUAGAAAGGACAUCGGCUCCUACGCAUCCUACGCAUUAGCGAACCUACGAUAAAUGAAAUACGAAUUAUUAGCGCUAUUAGGGACGAGCUCCUGCUUCCUCGGUUUCCUAUCCGAUCAGAAAUCCUAUCCUUGCUAAAACCAAUCCAAUCCACGAAAAGCAUCGUAUUGUAACACUUGUUAAAAAACAAAAAGUGUUGUGAAUUCGAUUGAGUUCGAAAGCACAUUCCCUUGCUAGAGAUAUUCCUUUUAUUCAUCCCGGAUUGUGUGAAUGCGUUCACACCUAUCCCGAGUGGGUAUAGUUACGUGGUUAAGUAAUCCCUUCCUAUGCGAGGUUCAUUGUAUGAGAGAACAUAAGGAAAGGCUUGAUACAUCCAUGUCUAGCUCAUGUCGAUCUUCGUGUCAUUUUUCUUUCAUUAGCUCAGUAGGAUAGUCCACGUUGCUAGGAUGUGUGGGUCUAGUCAGGUCGUGACCCUCGAUCAAACCAUCCUAGCAAUGCCCUCUUCUCAAAACAGGCGUUCGAUGUACGGAUCAUCGCCGCUUGUCUUUGGGGGUGGGAUUUUGGAAUUGGAAAUUGGAAUUGGAAGGUUUGACAGCGCGGCAAAUAAGUAAAUCUCUUCGACAUAGCUGAAGAGAAAUCGAGAUUGUGUGUUUGGAGAGGUGUAGAUUGUAGAUUCCAGCCGAGAAGACCAGGAAAAGAUAAGGAUAAAGAAUGUCAUAUAUCUCAGGAGCUAGAUCACUUCCCGAUGAACAAGUCAGAAUUGCCUCAACAAAAAUGGAUGGAAUUGGACCGAAAAAAGCCAUUCAGCUUCGUUAUCGAUUAGGUAUCAGUGGGAACAUCAAGAUGAAUGAGUUAACUAAGUAUCAGAUCGACCAAAUUGAACAAAUGAUAGCUCAAGAUCAUGUUGUUCAUUGGGAAUUGAAGAGGGGAGAACGAGCAGACAUCGAACGAUUAAUUUCUAUUUCUCGUUAUCGUGGAAUUCGUCAUCAAGAUGGAUCGCCCUUACACGGUCAACGAACUCAUACUAAUGCAAGGACUGCUCGCAAGCAAAUUCGGAAAUGAAAGAAGGCUACCGAAAGAACAAGCAACGGAUUUCGCGCUCAUCCCUUGCUAAAGCGCAUACGUUUUCUUGCUCCUUGGUACUUGUCUGAUCAAUCACACUGUUCAUUAGUUCACUUGAUUUUUCGUUCGAUGUCUUGAACCGCUUACUAAUCACGUAUACGUAUAGUAGGCCCCCUUCGCCACUCCACGUCUGGCCCGUCUUGGUCUCGCUCACUUCGCCCGCCUAUCGUAUCGGCUCGGCUUCGUCCGUCAAGCGACAGCUUCUGCCUCUGACGGCUUCACUAUCGCUCAUGACUGGUAGUAGUUGUCUCUAUGUAGUAGUCGGCCUUUGUUAAGCUUCGCCAGAAGCGACUAGUCGCUUCCCGAAUGCCUCUUUCUUGUACUAAUUAAUGUGUAUGGUCUAGUCUUUCCAAUGCCUCCUUCCUUGCCGCCAACGCACGCUAGAUGGAGAGUAAGCAAGCUACCUUGCUUGCAUUGCAUUCGUUAAACGGUAGCUUCCGCGCCCUUCCUGCCUGCUUCAAUUGAUGUGAAUGAUCGUGUCUUCGACAUCAAUUUCAGUCUGAUUAGAUAUGUCAUUGAAACAAAUCUGUUUUGUCUCUGUUUUCUUUUCGGAUGAUGAGGAUGAGCCAGCCGAUCCUAACAUAAUUUUGGAGGAGCCGGACGACGAAGCCUCAAAAUCAGAUAAAGAUGUCUCCGACGCGACCGGACUUCCACUAGAUUUUUAUAGGGGUCAGGAGGGAAAAGAUAUGCUGUUUUCUAUCAGUCCCAAGCGGAUACUCCCCAGCUUCCACGGUCCGCUUACCGAGGAAGAGAUGCGGGAGGACCCAGGGCCAGAGCAAGUUGGGUUGGGGUAUAGAGCCGUAAGCGCGGUGGGGGUGACAGAGGAUGUGCUCGUACGGUUCAUAGUUGGGUAUGAUAUUCUCGUGGAUUGUUGGGAACGUCCUCUAUAUUCGAAAUAUGCCUUUCUAGGAGCAUUACGAUCUGCAGCUCAAAUGGUCCCUUAUGAAGUCUCUAUUGGUCUUAUUCUUAUUGUGCGCCUUGUGAGCACGUUUGGAUCCGCGAAGGCAAUCGCUCGGAUCUUCCCCUAACCCAACCCGGGAACGGACCGGAGGGAACCGCAGCAUGAGGAAUGUCCGCGUCUCGUCGCAAGGCUCAUUUUGAGUUUUGGGUCAUAGGGCGGGCAGUGCAGUCCGGGGCACAAGGGUCCUGGUACUACCCAGGUGCGAAGAACCCCGGAGGCGACUGCAAUGAGCAAAAAUGUAACUCACCGGCCUAAACGACGAGCAAACACUCGAACGUGAGAGCAAGGGAUCACCCAACGAAUGGACGAGCUCCAAGGAGGGAGGAGAGAGGGAGGCAAGAACCAUGCUUUCAGAGAAGUGGCGGUCCGAAUCCACUCUGACAAAAUAAAAUAACAGACUAAGCCGUGCCGUAAGGGGGGCAUUCUCCACACGGGACGGGGCCAAGGCCUUCAUGUAUGGGUGACAGAUCGGCCAUAGGAGUACUCCGGGAUAUACACCAGGGCAACUAAUGUCGAGCAUACGAUGAUGCCGCCCGUUUUCAUUUCGUGAAAGUCCCCGGCAGAGGAAAGGGCUGUAGGUGAUGGCGCGUUCUGCUUCUUAGGGCGAUGAAAUCGUUCCUAUGGGAUCGUGCGUGGCAGCUGGUAUAGAUGAUGAUGAAAGGCGGGCCGCUUGAACCGGGACCUAUUCUCAUAAUAGGCAGCAAGCAAAGCUAAAUAGGAAAGGGGGCGACUGAUGACUGCCUUUUUCGUCAGAAAUCCAAAAGGGUGGAAUGUGGAGCUAAUAUGGCUGGCUACAAGUAUAGCCAAAGAAAGAUGAGACGAGACGGACUGUCAGAGGACGCAGCGGGACUACCAGGGGAAAGCCCGCCCCCGCUAGCUAACAUAGAUAUCUAUUCUCGGUGCGCAUAUUCGAGAUUUAGAAUCUCUUUCCGACCAGGCCAGGCCGAAUCGGGCCACCACUUGGGAUGGGAAUGGCUCAGCCCACAUGCAUCAUUUGAUGAAAGCACUCCAGUCCAGUCGCCUCCGAUCAGUGGCUUGUCAACCACCGGACCGUAAUUCCUCACCAAAUGCCCCUGCGUUGGGGCAACACAGCACAUGACUAGUUCGCUCAAGGACCACACCCUCUCGAGAGCAGGAUGCCGGCCGAGAUGGAGCGCCAACCUAGACUUUCCUUGGGCUUGCCUUGCCCCAACAUCUAAAUAAAGGGCGGGCGCCGAAAAGGAAGCAGUGACGCCUUUUCGACGAAAGCUUAGCUUGGUAGGCGCAGCUUACUCACCCUACUCCCUUAGACAAUGCAAUGCUCUGAACACGAAAGUUUGCAGUUCAGCCCUCUUCUCCCAUGCAGAGUCGCAGGCAGCGCCUCGGAUAAAAGCACGGACGAGCCACAUGCAGGGAAACUUGCACGUGUGGUUCUGGCCGGGGACCCCGGUAUACUGUACUAAUAUGUGUAGGUCCCUGUAAUUCGAGUGAGAUUGUCAUGGCGCAAAAGCAGAUAUGGUCCGGUAUUCCCUUGUUCCCCGUAUUGGUUAUGUUCCUUAUUCCUCGUCUAGCAGAAACUAAUCGAGCUCCGUCUGAUCUCCCAGAAGCGGAAGCUGAAUUAGUUGCAGGCUAUAAUGUAGAAUAUGCGCGGGAUGCGAUCCUUAAUAGUUCACUGUUGGCGGAAGCCAAUGUCUCGGGGACUCAUUCUGACUUAAACAAGGGGUGGGUCUUUACCAACUUCCAAAUCCAAGAUUUAGGGAAAAAAAAGAGGGGCAGGGCACUCUUCAUUCUUCAUUCGAAACUCAUGAAUGUCGGGUCGGAGGUUUUUGCCUUGUUAUCAAAAAGGGGAGUUGGGUAAAGCAAACUCCCUCCUUGGACGAGCACGGGGCUUAGUCAAGUAGAACCGGGUUGCGCUGCUUGAUGCUCCGAUCGAAAACAAAUCAGUGGGGCCAUGCCGGUACGACAGAAUAUGCGUUAGAAAGGUCAAUCCCUCCCCCCCUUUUUGAUUUUUUUAAUGAAAAACCGGGCCGAACUUCUAAAAAGCAGCCCACCCGCUUCCAUAGAACAAUAUCGCGGCAACGUAGACCUAAGUGGAUUUAUUGGAUCCUGGGGAACCAUCACAAGUACGGCCGGCCUAUAGAACGAGAAUGCCGUGUCGUCCAGCGGAGCUUAGAAGAAGGUGACUCGGAGCCUAAGGAAGGUGACUCGCGCAGACAGCUGACUCCUUUUCAAUAGAAAGGAAUAGCCAAACCUACCCAGCUGGCUGGUCAAUCUCAGUGAUCUUAUCGGCCGGCAAAGCGGAGACGGACGACCACGGUCCCGACCUUACCAGCACCGUAGGUUUACUAAUCAAUGAAGCCCCUCAACCUACUAUCUUUUCUUACAAACUCAACCAAGCCUAACCAAACCCCAUGCUCACGACAUGUUCUUGAUAUUGAUUGAGUUGGAGGGAGUCAGAGACUACCACGGAAUCCUUCCAUAGUCACCCCGGUGACCUUCGUCACCAAAGCGUCACGACAGUUUCCAAGACCCCUCAUAUAAUCUCCAGUGGGGAUCAGUCGGAGCACGUAGGAAUGCCGACCACUACAUAAGCCACGUCUGGCUGAGGCGAGCAGCAAGCGGGGGAGAGUAUUUUGAAGUACAAGAACGUUGGGGUGGGACGCUAGUACUUAAACUAGGGUUGCUUCUUAGCGCUAAUCUUGCGUUUUUCAGCAGUUAGUUGUAGCGCGCCUUCCCUCCUUCUCUCAUUUCGGAAAGAUUUGGCAGUAUUUUCUUAUGAUGACCUGGUCGAGAGAGUACGAAACAUCGGUGUAAAAGAUUGAGUGGGAUGGUUAUAGUAAGGGGCGAACCAAGUGCUUGCGCGAAGAAGCGAAUCAAUCAGAAUGGAGACAAGGAAAGGAGGAGAGGCGAAACUCAACAAAAAAGGAAAAGGGAACUCGACCGACUAUCAUGAGCGAAGCGAGGGAAUUCCUUCUGAUUGGAUCCCUUAGGAGAGAGACAAAAGGUAUUAUGAAAUAGAAUCAGAUCUUUGACGAUCCAGUAUUAGCUAGCAAGUGUAUGGACUCAGACUUUGAUGACUCCCUAGUGGCCAGGGAAGCGUUAGCUUCACCCUUUGAACGUCUCAUUUACUCUCUCUAGCUCUCGACUUUACGUAUAGGAAUUUCAGGUACAUUGGUCGAUGAAAGUGAACAUCUAUCUUAUCUUAUCUUACGCCACUUACUCUAGUUUUACUUUGUGGAAGACGUCCGAUUGAAUGAUCUCCAGUGGGUUCUAUUACCAUGUGUACCCAGGCCUGCUUCCUUCUUUUUUACCAGCCUCUCUGCUUCUGUCAGUAUAGAGGAAAGUCUUCAAUCCCUUGAGAGAAAUCAAAAAAUGGCCAAUAAAAGAUACCUAGCAUGACACAUCAGCUACGCCAUCUGAGCCUGUCCACUUGCUAGUCAGGAAAAAUAACCGCUCCGUUCCGUGGGCUUCUUUCGCUGCUCUCUUCACGCUCGCUUUACGAGUGCAACCAAGUUCAAUAAACUGUUCAUGCUAAUUCAUAGACUAUGCUGGUUUCUAUCUAAGAGUCCUGUGAGACGCUUCCUUCUCAUACACAUCUGAAGCAACGUUUGAUCAUCCGCAUUAGAGAGUUUUGCAGGUCCUUGAGAGAACGUUAUCCAGUCAGUUAUGACUUGACCAUGGUCUGAGGUGAAAUUGGUCCUGGUCCAUAAAACGAAAGGUGCUGGGCAAGCGCAGAGAAGUCGUCUGAAGGGGAGUUCCAUAGGAAUGUUCAACUUCGAUCAACCUUGGUUUGGUCCCAUGCCUAAAAAAGAAAUAAGGUCCAAAACAAAAUAGGGGUGAUAUAACCCACUGCUCGCCUAAGAAUGUACUGACGUAAUCCCUACUAUGGCUUCCCGAAGGAUCCAGCUGCUAAGAGGGUCCGAGCCAUAACGGAUUGAUGUGACCGUAGCGGCGACUGGAAUCGAUCUGAAUGAGGCAGUUAUGGGACUUUUCUUAUAUAACAAUAUAUAUGGAGGAAGGAUUCAAAAAAGGUGGGGGUCAAGGUGUAUAAUACGAGCUCCACUUUCAGGCAAUGAGCUAGCUUAACCCUGAUUGCUUAAGGUUUAAUACAGUCAUGUUGGAUCUGCUACUAAGAAAGGAAGAGAAAGACUGAUUGCGACAGCUCAACCGGAUGAGACAUCUCUUAUUUACAGAACUGUGCCAACGUGUGCCUACAUUGUUUGAUUUACCAGUUCCGGGUAUUGGAUUUUGGAAUAGAAAGAAUGAAACUAGUACCAGCUUAUCGCCAACCGUGCUUUCUACCAACUCCGCCAACCCCAGACGGGAAUAUUGAUUGCGAUUUAGCCGCACCUGAGCCCGCAACUGCUGCCUCUACUCCGCCUACUUCUUGUGCCGACUUCGCCAGCCUCGCGGGGUACCGAUUUCCUCCUGCUUUGUGUGCGUGCCAUUGACUCCUUUAAUGGGUCGAAACCUACUUAGUUCUCAUUUUUAUUUCGUCUAUACAAGAAAAGAAGGAUUUGUGUUUAGCAAGACAGAGAAUUGAAUAAGUAAAAAUAAAGUAGUGUGUACCCUUUACCGAAAAGCAAAUAUGACAGAUAGGGUACGACAUAUUGCUUAUUCCUGAUUGAUCUAGUUGACGACAGUUGCCUUGUUGGACCGAUUGUGGAUUGGAAUAGAAGUUUCUUAUAUACAGAUAUUCGUGUUUACUGAUUUCGCAUACUGGGAAUGGAACUUGAUGUAACCCAUUGGAAACUCUCUUUGAGACUCAUUAUCUGUUAUAUACGACAGGCUAAUUAAGUCCUUAAAUUUAAGAAAGGAGUCUUUCCUUACUUCCUUACACAAAACUGUUAUGUUGUUAUGCUGCUCGUGCAAUCAAAACUUAGAAUAGAAGAAAAAGAGUUCCCUCGGGACCCAUCCUCUUCUCCUUCGCUUGUGUGACUAUCAUGAGAAGAAUUCCAUUCCAAGAAGUCAAAUAACAAGAAAAAGAAACGAGGUCAAGAUCCGUUGUUACCAGUACCGACGAAAUGGAGAAAGUGUCCUCCGGGAACGCAAUCUACUACAUUAGUUGGUGUAGCCAAAGAAGAGGAUAUCCCCUUUUUUGACCCAUUGGUCUUCAGACCAGACCCAUACCAUAGCUACAAACACUUUUGAGUCGGAGGAGACUGGCCAGAUCGCCUUCUUGAGGCUCUCUGGGCUUAUCGGACGUCAAUCUGUAUAGCCACUGGUCCCCUUCUCCUUAGUCGUUGGCAUGGACGCCAUUCUUCCCAGUGAACUCGACGAUUCCUUCCCUGCGCGUUCUGCUCGACGACGAUAUGACUGAUAAUCAGAAGCGAGAGGCUCUCGAAACUUGACCUCCUCGAUUCGAUCGAUGGGAGAAAAAAAAGGUUACGAGCGGCAGAGCACGCACAAGUCUAUCAACGUCAACUCAGCCGCGCUUUGGACCGAUCCUACGAAUAAGAGGCAUUAACAAAGCAUUUAUGAGACACCAUACUUUCAAUAGGCAAGGGCCAGCCCGAAGAUCAACGGGAUCUUUCUCCAAGCUAAGUUUCUACCCCCGAGGGAACCGGCCACGAUGCGUGGGGGUAUCGGUGCUGAUAAACUCGUCUCCGCUCAUCUUACCUGGAAAUGGAAAUAAAUUCUGGUAGAUUACCUACCUCAUCUGAGAUGAAGGAAUUUCCUACUUAAGAUUCGUAUGCCUAUUUUGCUGUUGAUGUGGAGGAAUUGGUACUAGCCUACUCGAUAUGUUCCUUGCCUGGUUCGCUAUAGGAAGUGCUUUCAGCAAAUGAGGAGGGGAAUAUUCAUAGGUAUGAAUCUUCCGUCAAUGGUUAAGGUUGAAGUGAAGGCAAACCUUCUUUGAAUUUUGAUGCCUAAUUAUUUAGCUCUGGUAUUGAGAAAGAAACCAUUCAUACGGCCAGGUCACAGGAAUGCUUCUUCGGCUUACAAUUCCGAGUCAACAACCGUAACUCGAGCACUUAGCCCUAGCUCUUGCUCUUUCCUUCCUUGCAACGGGCUGCCUGUGUGCCUACUAAUAUUUACUUACCUCAAUGGUGCGCUAACUUUAGAACGAGGAUUUGCCAAAUUCGUAUUAGGGGGGGCUAUGCAGCAAUUCGACCACUGUUACUGUACUAGAUAUCUCAGGCUUAUCCUAAAGAAAUUAUGGCUUCGCUUCUCUUCUUCCUGGUGAUGGAUAUAGUCUCGAUGGCUUUGCCCAAGUAUGGCAUAAAAGUAAAAUAGGAUAUCCUUCAAAAGGGAAUUUCAUGUGUGAGCACCUUGCCUCUUUUAGGGAAGGCUAUUUACCAAGUGAGUCUGCGCAGCAUGCUACGAAACAUAAGAAUCAUUUGGAAUCCCAUUUGCACCCGGAUUCAGCUUCUUUCGAACUAGCAAAUGCACUUUCAGAGCCAACAACGGAUCGGCUUGGCCCAUUCCCCAUCUGGGGAAGAAAGAGUACCUAGAUCUGCAUCUACUAAGUAUGCCCUGAAAUUCAUGUUAUGAUCCGGUCUUUCCCAAAGCUAGGGCUUCUUUUCCCAUCCCUAUCCUCCGCGUCAACCUGUACCGGACCCAGAGUCAAAACUAAAAAGAGAAUGAAGUCUCGAAAACUCUUAAUUAAUAAAUAUUCGUGCGCCUACUUUGCUUAUCCUUCUCUGCCCCAUUAUAGAUAGUUGGGUAGAGCGAGGGAUAUCGGGGAAGGAAGAAAAACCUCCACUUGUUUUACGGAUUCACAUACUGGUUGGUAUGUUCAUCAAGUUCUCGAUUACUACUUACGGUGCCCACUGACUCCCUUUAAUGGUACGCAGUCCCUGCCAAUUUCUCGAAAGAAAGUGCUAUCCACUGAGGGGCAAGCGGAGGAAGUGCAGAAAUCGCGUAUCCGUCUUAUCCUCGAUGGAGUACAGUGGCUAUAGAAAGAAAGGAAGAGUUCGAUUGCUUGGAGAAGGUAUUCUUCUUGGUCGACGGGACCUCCCCUCUUCUUACCCAGAAAAGGAAACGAGUCACUUCUUGCGGAAUGAUAGAUCCGUUUGUCUUGCUCUACCUAAGCAGGAUUGAGUACGAUGAUGCUCCCUACCUAUGUGUACCUCAUACUUUUCGGGCUAGAAAUGCCAUAUAGUUAAUGGAACUAUCCAUUUUGGUCGAUCUUGAUUAGUAGAUUGCCAACUUCUUCUUCUUCUGAUAGGAAUCUUCCCUUUAUUAGGUGGCUAUAGCAUAACGAAACAAGUAAAGUAGGUUAUUCUUUACUAAGUUGGUUCCUCGGCUCGAUUGGUAAUGCAGAAAUCACCUGGGCUUGCAAGCUAUGUGAUGUGACAUACCUGGCUCAGCUCAAUCCUACGACGAAUACCUUCUGCGCCUACGACGAAUACCUUCCUUUCCUUAGCGGAACAAACACUCCUAUCUCCUGCUAAAGCUGGAUGCGCGCCGGCACACGGGCCAAAGAGGACUAAGGAGAAGGGAUGCCAUACUAAUAGACUGGGCAAGCAAAGCAAGGCAAGCGUUGAUGACUCUCGAUUGAAAGGUUAAGAGAAGGAUGCGCAUGGCACGUGGAAUAUUCCUAUCGGAAGAACAAUCAGAAAAUAAGGAGAUAGUGAGUUGGCACUUUUCACACAAGAACCGCUUUUCGUAUUAAGCACGGGAGUCGUAAGGAAAGACCUCUGCGUAGCUAUCAGAACGAAUUAAUGAACGAAAUAAACGAAUUCCGGUGAAACCAAGGCGAAUUUAUGAGCCAGCAGUGGGAAAAAGAUGCCAAGUAUUGAGAUGCAACAUUAUGAAUGGUGCGAUCCGAAGUCUUACUAUUUACUCAAAAUUGACUCAAAUGGUUGACUGAACUUCACAGAGGACUAAAGCCGGGAACUUAAACUAAUGGUUUUGCCUUUCCACUUCCCAAUUGACUCUCAUAAAAGGCUAGGCUACCUCUUCACAUCGCACCUGAUCCCGAAUCAUGUGCUCUGUUCAGGGGAUCAAUAGUGGCUAUUAAGCUUUUCCCUUUCUAUAUAUUCUUGAGAAUAAGUAAAUACCAUCCUUUUUCCUAUCAGCAUCUCUCUAUCUGACAGUAAAUAUUGCUUUCAAUCGAUCAGGCACUAGGUUAUUAAAGUAUGGAUAUGCCAUAUAAUAAGGGAAAAGGCCUCAAGUUUUUUUUAGCGCAAAAGAAAAGCCGAUUCCAAAUUUUCUAUUUCCCGGCAAGUCUAUGAGAGUCCUAUUACGGAUCCUCUGAUCUUUAGCUUGAAUGGUCGUGUUUUUAUAUAAUUAGGUCUUUCUUCUGAGCUCUUCUAUUACGGUACGGAAAAAUCAAACCUAUCACUCUCAAAGAAUGGGUAAAAAGAAUUCAAGCUAGGGGAGCCUACACUCUCUAACUACCUAUACUACGCCCCCAUUGAUUGGAAACCCUCGGGGAAAAUGAUCCCAUAAACAAAGGAAUUAUACAGUACGAAAUAGCAAAAAAACAGACUAAUUCGAUUCUAAAAAAUCGAUAAUAGAUAUUUUAUUCUGCUCAAAUUGUCCCGACAAGGAGAGAUAUUCAAUAUUUGAAUCAGAUUGGAUUUCGUAGUAUACCAAUGUGAGCCAAACUAUUACUAUUUCAUCUAACUUGAAUAACCAAGGACUGAAUUUGACUAUGGAUUCUGAUAACUCGAGAAGUUUUUAUUUGGUUAUGAUCCAAAAAGAAAAAAGAAAGGUUUAACAAGCCAUGAGAAAAUAGAGUAAAGUAACCAUACGUUCUGUUUGCAUAACGUGUAUACGCCACGCCAUACAAUCGAAAUAGAAACAUGGGACGAUUCCAGAAUUUUUAAUAGAUCCGUGGGGAUGAGAGAAGUUGUUGUUGAGAAAUAUGAAAUUGGAAAGGAAGUCAAACUCCCUAUGGAACCUGUGAUCGGUUGUACCUGUACUUUAGUGAUACGAAAACUCGCUAUUCACUCAGUUUCUGGUCAAUAAUAAGAUUAUGUAGGAGAGAUGGCCGAGUGGUUCAAGGCGUAGCAUUGGAACUGCUAUGUAGGCUUUUGUUUACCGAGGGUUCGAAUCCCUCUCUUUCCGUUUCUGUUAAUUCACCAACGUUACCGACCACAAUGAAAUUUCUAGUAAGAGGAAAAUCCGUCGACUUUCUAAAUCGUGAGGGUUCAAGUCAAGUCCCUCUAUCCCCAAUAAAAAGCCCAUUUUACUUCCUAACUAUUGUACCAACCUCUAUUUUUCAUUAAUGGUUCAAACAAGAUUCACUAUCUUUCUUAUUCUACUCUUUCACAAACGGAUCCGAACUGACUUCUUUGGAUCUUAUCCCAUUCAUACAAAUGAACAUAUUAUAGUAUAGGCAAGUAAUCCCUAUUAUUAAGUAAGUCAUUCACAAUCCAUAUCAUUAUCCUGAUAUUUACUAAGUCCAAUUUGAGAAUACUUUUUUCUUUUUUAGUCCCUUUAAUUGACAUAGAUACAAGUACUCUACUAGGAUGAUGCACAAUAAAUAGUCAGGAUAGCUCAGUUG
Molecule: long non-coding RNA, 52451 nt
Filed under: Hordeum vulgare
Lineage: Eukaryota; Viridiplantae; Streptophyta; Magnoliopsida; Poales; Poaceae
Source: RNAcentral